UCAGGAAAAUAUUACUCCAUUUUGAUUUAUUUAUUGUUUCUCAUAUAUUUGUAUAAACACAGUACAUUAUUUUGCCGCUCAAAGCAGAAGAGCAGAAGAUACAAUGAUUUAGUUUUGCUCACAACACUACAUAGGAACUCAAUACAAUAUUCACUAAACACUUGUGAAAAGUGCAGAAAGGUACUAAUAGGGUGUCCUAUCAGAAGACACGGUGACUUUAUCUUUACUCACAAUACAGUAAUUUUACCCACAACAAAACCUAGGAACUAAAUGCAAUUGCAAAAUCGGUACUAAGAAGGCAGACUACCAAUGCCCUUUAUGAAGGUUUCCAUGAAGACAGUGGAAUCUUCAUAGGUAGGAGUGACACCCCCAUAUCGAUGACCCCUUACAGCAUCUGCUGAAGCAAUGGAUUUAAGCUCAGCAAUUUCUUCCGGAGUUAGUUUCACUGACAGAGCUUUAAUAUUUUGAUUCAGGUUUUCAAUCUUGGUGGUAUAUUUUGAUUCAGGUUUUCAAUCUUGGUGGUUCCAGGAAUUGGACACACAUCAUCUCCUUGGUGAUGAACCCAUGCUAAUGCAAGCUGAGAUGGGGUGCAUCCUUUCUUUACAGCUAUUUCAUUAACACGUUCAAAUAGCUUUUUGUUAUGCUCUAAAUUUUCAGGUUGGAACCUAGGUAGAAGCUGCAAGAUUUAGAAAACAGCUCAGUACCAAAAGUGAACUGUAAUUGAAUCAUUAAAAAAGAACAUCAUUUUGGAUAAAGCAUGAUUUUAGAGGAGGUUUAAGUAAAAUUCAAUAGACCAGAAAAUAAGGAAAAAGGACUAGUUGAGGGACUUCUCCUAGGCAGAGGAUGUCUAUAGUAAAACAUUUUGGAAUGUUAGAUGUUUUCAACAUAUUUUGGGGUAGGAAAAUCCAAAAUCUAUCUUAAACAAUGAAUUUAUAUUUUUCGGGGAGAUGGGGUACCUCACUGGUUUGUUGUGUGCGGUGCGGUGUAUCUGAAGUUCGGGGGAGGUGAGAAGGGGAGAGAGAGUGGUAACAAUGGUGGAAGGUUAGAAACAAGAGAGGUGUCCUUCAAAAUGAGCUUCACGCCUGCAAAACAGUGAAAUAGAGGUUAGAGGUGAAGCCGGGGUACCCCGGCGUUCACACUCCGACGCUCAAGUUAGCAAACUCAAGCUUUUAUGGCAAAGAGAGCUAGCUAGCCCUCUGUAAAUUAGGGUUUAAGGUUGAAGAAAACCUUUUUUUUGGAGUGUGAGUGUUUUGGGGCGAAUGAGAGCAUGAUGGAGAAUGAAACCUAGGCGCCUUUAUAUAUGGAGUACCUUAGCUGCCACGUGGCGUACCCUUUUUGGCUAACGUCCUUUUACCGCUUUUAUGAUUCUUGGGGCCGUUAUGUGCAUGUUCGCGGCGUAUCUCAUCUUUUGGAAACGUGGCGCGCGCUGGAGAGUGGUCCGGGGUACCUCUGCAGUAGCUGUUGGGUAGGCGGCUAGGGACCACUGUCCUUGGGACAGUGUCCUUCACUUUUGGCAGAGGUAGCAGGCGACUGUCCCCCCUUUUGAUACGACGUUAUUGAUUCAUAAUUCUGACAAAAUCAAAUAAUAUCUUUUAGGAGGCGGAGACGUUUCUCAUGGCGGAUAUUUUCGGAGGUACCUCGAGUUACGUGGGGUACCUCUAAUUGUACGGGGUACCUCUAGUUACGUGGGGUACCCCCUAUUACGCGGGGUACCCCUAUUUGUAUGAGGUACCUCAUAUUAUAUGGGGUACCUCUAUUUGUGUGGGAUACCCCUAAUUGUACAGGGUACCUCUAUUUACACGGUGUUCCUCAAGUCAUGCCGGGCACCUCGGAUUGUGCAGGGUACCCUCCGAUUGUGCUGAAAUCAUUCCAUUGGUUGACACGUGGCGCUCUAUUGCCUUUCCUAUUUUUCCCUCAAACAACAUCCCCUAGUUUCUUUUUGGCGAGAAGUAUUGGAGGCAAAAGAAACUCAUUGUAUGAGUGAUACGUGCCGACGCGGUUGGACCGGAGGGUACCUUGCUUAGCUUCUUUCCUUGACUAAACUUUGUGUACUUCGAACUAAAAAUCUUCUCUUUGUCUUUUCGUUUUCCCGCUUUUUUUUUUUUUUUUUUUUGACGAUGAGAACGAACAGUUGUCUUCAUAUGCCUCUCUCCUUUUUCUUGGGAAGUGGCAGCCGUCUGACACGCAGUUUGAAUUUUGAAAAUACAAAUCUCACUCAAACAUCCCUGAACUCCUUUCUUGGGCAACGUGUUCUGUCAGGUUGAAUUUAAAACUCCUGACGUGUGUCAAAAUUUUGACAAUCCCCAAACGAACUCCAAAAAAUUGAUUAUUUCCAGUAGCCUUUUUCUUCCAUAAUUUCGUCUCCUCUUCGAAAUGCAUCAACAUCAUCACGUUAAAAAUAAGAAUUUCUUUACUUUUUUUUUUUUUUUUUUUUUUUACGCUCGUUCAUCUUCCCUAGGCUCUAUUCUCCCUUUACUCUUUUUCUUUUAUUUCAUUCUUCUUCCGUUUUCUUUCUUUCCCAUUUUCUUUCUCCCUUUUCUUUCUCACGUUUCUCCUUCCUUUUUCUCUCUUUUCCUUCUUCCUUUUCUUUCAUUCUUUUUUCUCUUUCUCUCUCGGCCGGCGUUGAUCUAGUACGUUUUCCGGCGUGGAUCGCGGCUGCUGCAGUGGCGGUUUUGGGCUCCAGAUCUGGUCGGUUCAAGGCGAUUUUCGGCGGCUCACGGCGAGAUCUCAGUCCGGCGAUACACACGGUAACCCCUCCUUCAUCGUUUCUUCAUUUUUCCCUUGGUGCUUUCUCUCUUCCUUCCCUUGUCUUCUCUCUUUUUCUUCUCUUUUUUUUCUUUUCUCUUUUUCGUUUCGGCUUGUGUUUUUCUCUGUGAUUUCCGGCGUCGGUUUGGUGUGGUUGCGGCCGGCGUCGGUUCGGUGGCUGCAGCCGCGGCAGCCGGCUUCGGUUUGGUGGUUUCCGGCGUUAGUUUAGCGGCUGCUGCUUCUCGGUUUUUCUCUUUUUUUUUUUUUUUCGGCCGACGUCCUCCUUUGCAUUUUUCCGGCGUCGGUUCUUCUUGAUGGCGGCAGCUGCGGCGAUCGGCGUCAGUUCGGUGGCUGCGGCGGUCGGCGUCGGUUCUUUUUUUUUUUUUUUUCGGCCGACGUCCUCCUUUGCAUUUUUCCGGCGUCGCUUCUUCUUGAUGGCGGCAGCUGCGGCGAUUGGCGUCGGUUCGGUGGCUGCGGCGGUCGGCGUCGGUUCUUUUUUUUUUUUUUUUUUUCGGCCGACGUCCUCCUUUGCAUUUUUCCGGCGUCGCUUCUUCUUGGUGGCGGCAGCUGCGGCGAUCGGCGUCGGUUCGGUGGCUGCGGCGGUCGGCGUCGGUUCUCGGUGGUUGCAGCCAUUACAGCCGACGCCGGUUACUGCAACUUCUUCGUUCUUCAUUUUAUUUAUUUACUUAUUUAUAAAUAAGUACAUAUAUUUAAGCUUUAUUCUUUAUUUUUAUACUUGCAUAUUUUACCCACUGUUUUUAGUUGCCUGCAGCUUCGUCUCCCCGCGAUUGUCAAUCCUGAUCUGUCGAAUUGGUGAAUCAUAGGUAUCCCUUCUUGUUUCUCCUCUUUUGGCGCAUUCACAGUGGCGCUAUUUUGCUUACUCUAAGAAAAAUUUAUUUUUAUUUUUGUUGUUUUUGUUUUUUUUGUUGGUUGGUGUUUGCAUUUGGUGGUUGAUGUGUGAUGGAUGGUGCUUGGUAUGGAUAUGUUGUUGUUGGGAAAACAUGUGGCUUGUUGGAUGUGUUGUUGGGGGCUUGUGGAUGUGUUGUUGGAUGUAUCGUUGGGUGUAUUGUUGGGGGAAAGUAGAUGGGUAAGAAACACACGGGACCCGUGAUGAAGCGACGUAAAGUUGGGGCUAGUAGGGUUGACAGCCCUCCUGCGGGUUCCCCUUCCCACAUCUCCAUUAGCGAGGGGGAUUGGUCCCCUCCUAGUUCCUCCAAGAGUUGUAAUUCUCGUUCUGAGCCCCCUCCCCCUAGGAGUACUCCUCGUGUCAGCCCACGCUUUCCUAGUAAACGACCUACCCCCAAUCCUCGAAAGAAGGGUAAGUCAACCAAGCCUAAGGUUCCAGCUCGUUCCUCGGACCAGCCGCCUAAAUCUCCCCCUGCCACACCUUCAAAAUCUAGCAACCCUUUUUCCCUAGGCAUUAGGAGGGCUACUUUGGGGGACUUAGAGCAAAUUAGAGCCAAAUACAAUAUUCCUCCGUCUGUCCAGCUCAGGGUACCCCAUGUGGAUGAGAGACCCGAGUGUCCACAGUCUGAUGGGAUUGCUCUCCAUAUCGACCUCUUCGAUCUAGGACUCCGCCUGCCCCUCCAACCAUUCUUUAUGAAAAUGUUUAGUUAUUUGGGGGUAGCUCCUGGGCAGCUGUCUCUUCUAAGGUGGAGGACACUGACGGGCUUACAUGUGUUAUGGUUGGAGGUCGUGAAGCGCGACAUUUCUGUUCGAGAGUUGAGGGGCCUUUACCAAUUCAAGAAACCUAAGGGUCCCGCCAUUGCUUACUUCUCCUCCUAGGGUGAUCAUGGCCACAUCGUUGAGGGGAACCCCGCCUUGAAGAAGGGUUACCGAAAGGGAUGGUUUGUCGCUGAGGGUAGGUGGGGGGCAGAGACUCUAGGUGAGAAGGGCGACCCCGUGGAGGUUCCCCAUUCCUUCAAUGUAGACUGUAAGUAUCUCCCUUACUUAUGGUUCUUUAUCGGAAUCUUUCGCCUGAAUGUCUCGCUAACCUUGAGUUCUUUAUGCUUUCGCAAGUGUGACAUGGGCUAAAGGAUCAUGCCCAGUUCAGGAGGUGGGGAGAGAGGUGAAGAAGUUUGUGGACAGGCUUCGAGGUGCACAAAGGGGUAGUGAUGUGCUAGAUGAGAGCCGAUUGUGGAGAGCGGGGCUGAUUGACCGAAGUCCUCCGCCUGCUCCUGGGGGUGACUCAUGUAUGAUUUGGGUGUCGGGGGGGGUAUCCUAUUAUUACUUAUGGGACUGGGGUACCCCAUUAUCAUUGCAUUCUUCGUUUCGCGUCCCCGCUUUCCAUUUCCUAUUUUUUACUUUUGCAGUACUUAGUACUUGUCCAGCUAACAUAACUUUUGUGCAUUGGGUGCAGUCAUGGAAUCGACGGGUGACGCUUUCGACGCCUUUUUCCAGGCAGUAGUGGGCGGUGCUUCCGGAUCUCAGGAUUCGGCGGUACCCCCGAAAGGCUCCCAACCUCCUCGAGCUCCCGGUCCGAAGGGGAAGUCUCAGGGUACCUCCCACAGCGGGUCGAAGGGUACCCCUCGCUCGAAGAAGAGAAAAUUCGGGCUGGUUUCCGCUUUCCCCGAGGAGUUGCGCGAAGGUGACCUAGACCCGACUUCCAACAAGGAGGUUUCGCACUUGGCUCGCUGUUUCUACUACUCCGCUGAAAAUGUUACCUCCGAGGUUGCUGAGGAGACUGACAAGAUGAGUUUGAGCCAACGCUAUAGUCAAGCACUUAGGGCUACCCAAGAGGUAGGCUUUCCCGGGAUACCCCGGGUGUACCCUUCAAAAAAUUUUUUUUUUUUUACUUGAUCCUAUUGCCACACGUAUAUAUUUAACGUGUCUUUUAUGACCCGCAGGCAUCUUUUCUCCUCAGCCACUGCCUUCCAGACCUUGACUCUCUCGUUGCCGCCCAGUCAGAGGUCGACAAGUUAAGGGGUGAGCUCCAAAGCCGUCAGUCUCGCGAGGAUCAGCUUGCUCCAGAAGUUAAAACUCUGCAAGAACGCAUUGCUGGCCUGUCGGGAGAGAAAGCUAAGGUGGAGAAGGACUGUGAGGAGUUGAGGGCCACCAACGGGGAUCUGCUAUCUCGGCAAAAGACGAUGGCGGAGGAUGCAUUCUCACUCAUCAUGACGGAGGUGUGGAGUGUGGAUCCGGAGUUGGAGGUACCCCGGGUGCAGAAAUUUGUCAACAAGGCUACGAUUCUAAAGACAAUUGCAGAGAGGAAGAAGCCUUCCCAGGCACGGUCGGGUACCCCCUCCGAGUCGCCUCGGGUACCCCAUCAGCUUUAGCCGUUGCCUGCUUCGGAUGCCCCUAGUUCGGCUGCUCAUAUUCCGGGUACAUCGGAGUCCUCUGCUGAUCGCCCUCUGGAGACGGAUGUUGGGGAUGGCGUUCCCCCUUCAGUGUAGCCUUCUCACUGUGCUCUUGUUUUUUUUUUUUUUUUUCGGACCUAUCCACAUUUUGCUAUUUGGACCUUGUUUCUUUCUUUUUGGUUUCUCGAGAUAUUUUGUAUUAUUGGGACUUCUCUUUUGUUAUGAUACCAUGCCAUCGAGUUCUCUUGUACUUUGCAUGCUUGUUAUUCUGCAAAUGAAUGCUUGACUAAACUGUUACCUUGUAAAUGUCUAGGGUACCUCUUUUUUUUUUUUUUUUGAAAUGGGGUACCCCUGGUACCUUAACAAAUAUCCAACAUCAGGCGGAUUCCCUACAAAUGUGGUGCAUGUCCUUCUCGGAAACUAUGGCGGAUUCCCCACAAAUAGGUAAUCAAAAUAUCAUCGCGACAUCUCGAUCAAACGUUGAAAGCGCAAUUGGUCCAACCAAUCACUUUCUUAUUCUUUCGAAGUUUUCUCCGAAUUUUUUGAAUAGCUUACCCCAUACUUUGCAAAAGUACGAGGACGGAGGUGUAGGUGUUCUCAUACCUAAGCCGAACUUCGUGCCGCUAGGGUAUGCCGGUUUUUCUUCACCCUCGGGUCCUCUCUGACCCUCCCUCUCUUUGUUUAGGUAGCUUUAUCAUGCUUCCGCAGAAAGGCUACCCCCGGGCUGUUCCCUCCGUUGCCCAUCUUGGGUUUACAUAUAUCGUCACGAUCUAGGCAUAUCAGGUACCCUGGCUGGUCCUGCGAUAGGUUAGUCAUAAUUGACAAACGUAUGGCGAGAAUUGCAUAUUACCAGAUGCGAGGGUAUAUUAAUGGCGAUAAAUGAAUAUAAUCCGCACUCUAAGAUCGAAGUGGAGAAAAAUAAAUAAAGAACCCACAUCAUAUUUGUUGAGAAAGAACAUGCAUUUAUGGAUAACGAAAGCGUUGAUCAAUACAUGACUUAGCUUUGUUACCCUGAGGAGAAUGGGAGACCGCAAGACCUCCUAUCCCUUUCAUUUGACAAUUAAAGAAACUCUAAAGUUGCAACUGACCAACAUAGGGCAUUUGGGGUACCCUAUUUGGCCUACCACACAAAAACAUUAAAGAAAGCAAAUAACAGCAAAAGACUAAAGGUUGAGACACUGUCCUUUAGUAAUAUUUCCGUAGCAUUACAGCGUUCCAAGGGUGCCUCACAAUUGUGCCAUCCAUGUGGAGUAGCCUGUAUGCACCUGUCCUAACGGGUUUGUCAAUGCGGUAAGGUCCUUCCCAAUUUGCCCCAAAAGUGCCUUCACAGGGUACCCUAGUGUUCUGAGUUACCCUUCUCAAGACCAAGUCUCCUUUCUUGAAUGACCGAGGGCGUACCCUUUUUUCGUAUAGACCCGAAAUGCGAUGCUGAUAUAUGGCUGUCCUCAGUUCUGCUCUAGCUCUUUUUUCAGCCACUAAAUCAAGGUUUGAAGCAACCAAUGAGGUGUUCUCGGCCUCAUCAAAGUAUUCAACCCUGUAAGAGGGUACCCCAAUUUCUGCUGGAAUCACUGCGUCAACACCGAAUGCGAGGGAAAACGGGGUCUCCCUGGUGGAGGUGUUUUGAGUAGUUCGGUACGCCCACAGUACCCCAGGUAGCUCGUCUACCCAUGCUCCCUUUCUUUUUUCUAGCUUCUUCUUCAGGAUACCUUUGAUAAUCUUGUUAACGGUUUCGACUUGCCCAUUAGAUUGGGGUGAGCAGGUGUAGCAAAUCGGUUGGUUAUCCCCAACUCCGAACAAAAGCUUCGAAAUUUUUCAUUAUCGAAUUGCUUACCAUUAUCACUGACAAUUGCAUAGGGGAUUCCAAAUCUGCAAAUGAGGUUCUUCCAAAUGAAUUCGGUGGUUUUCCUUUCUGUGAUGCUUGUUAGUGGCUCUGCUUCCGCCCAUUUUGUAAAAUAAUCUACCGCCACGAUUGCAUGUUUUGCUUGCCCCUUUCCAGUAGGUAACGGUCCAAUGAGAUCCACUCCCCAUAUAGCGAAGGGCCAAGGGGAAGAUAUAACUGUUAGCUUCUCUGGAGGUAGGUGGGGUACCCUGGCGAACCUUUGGCAUUUGUCACAGCUUCGUACCAUAUUCUUGGCAUCUUCCCGCAUAGUUGGCCAGUAGUACCCCUGACGGAGGGCUUUUUGCGCCAAUGAUUGUGCUCCAUAGUGAUUGCCACAAAUCCCCUCAUGUAUCUCCCUCAUGACAUACUCGGCCUCGUCGCUUCCCAAGCAUUUAAGGUAAGGAAGAGUGAAACCUCUUCUGUAUAAGGUAUCCUGGAUCAGGCAAUACCGGGCGACUUUAUAUUUUAAUCUCCUUGCUUCACUUUUAUCUGAGGGGAGGUCUCCGUCCUUGAGGUACCUUAUGAUAGGCUCCAUCCAAAGCACCUCGUUGGACAGCGAUCCUACUUCCAAUGGGGAUUUGGUUGUACCCGGAGAAGGUGACCCCGAAUGCACAUUUUUCAGGGUGAUGAAGGCCGUUUUCUCUUGAUCGGGUUCGUACAUCGGGAUUUGGUUGUACCCGGAGAAGGCGUCCAUAAAACUAAGCAUCUCAUGCCCCGCUGUUGCAUCAACCAGCUGGUCCACCCGGGGAAGCGGGAAGCUAUCCUUGGGGCAGGACUUGUUCAAAUCGGUGAAGUCCACGCACAUACGCCACUUUCCGUUUGAUUUCUUGACAAGAACAAUGUUGGAUACCCAAUCGGGGUACACUACUUCCCGGAUAAAUCUCGCUGCUAAUAGGCGGUCUACCUCUUGUUCAAUUGCAUCGUACCUCUCUUGGUUGAAGGCGCGACGCUUCUGUUUGACUGGUUUAUUAUGUGGGCUGACAUUGAGUUUGUGACAAGAGAGAGAAGGUGGGAUACCCGGCAUAUCCGAGUGGGACCAAGCGAAUACAUCGUGGUGCUCACGUAGGAAGGUGAUGAGUUUCUCUCUUUGUUCCUCCGAGAGGUUGGAGCCUACUUUCACCGUCUUUGUUGGGUCGGUGGCACAAAUCGAGACUGAAAUAAGGUCUUCAACUGGGGUACCCCUUUUUUCAUCUUUCAAUAUUCGGGGAUCCAAAGGUGCCUCAACUUCACAUCUGGGCUCCUCCUGGUCCCUGUGGGGUACCCUCGAGCUAUCCGCCGCAACUGCUUCUACACUCAUUGGUGAGGAUUCCAACUGCUCUCGUGGGUGGGCUACCUGAGGAGAUUUUUUUAGCACUGCUCUCCGCUGUCUAGCAAGUGCUCGCUUUGAGGGGAAAGGUGUGGGCUGGCUGCCACUGGGGUAUCCCUUCAUUGGCGGAUUGGAAGCUAUUUGGUAAGUGACUUUGGAGGUCACGGAAUAACAUCCACGAGCCGAUUGCUGGUCCCCUUUAAUAGUGAUAACUUCUUGGGCGGCUGGGACUUUCAUGGCGAGGUAGUGCAUGGAUACCACCGCUUUAGUUGCUACUAAAAACGGCCUACCCAAUAUAAUAUUGUAGGCACCCGGGUGAUCUACAAUAAGAAAAUCAAUCAUAUGAACGACAUGGUGAGGUACCUUACCAAGUGUAACAGGCAGCGUAAUGAUGCCUUUUGGUAUAACCAUAUCUCCGGCGAACCCAAUGAGAGGCGUAGCAUAGGGGGUGAUCUUUGGCGACUCAAUCAAUAGUUGAUCCAAGGCGCUUUUGAAAAUGAUGUCAACGGAGCUGCCGGUAUCUACGAGAGUUCUUGCUACCUUACCAGUGGCAACCUUCAACGUAAUUACAAAGGCAUCGUCGUGGGGGUACGAGAUGCCCUCCGCAUCUUUUUCUGUAAAAAGGAUAGGCGGGGGAUGGUGGGGUACCUUUGGUGUACCCCAUUGAUUAAGGUUGACUUCUCUGCCCAUAUCGGUGGUUAUCGACAACGAUCUACCAUAGCCUUUGAUAGCCCUCCUAGAUUGGCCCGCCAAGGUCGGUCCGCCCAUGAUCAUCCGAACAUACACGCCUUUCUUAUGUCCAGGGGGUACUUCUCGUUCAGGACUGCCAUCAGCUACCCGCUUGCCCUUAUCCUGCUCCGCGGAUUUCCUCAUGCCAGCAACAAAUUCUUUGAGGUACCCGCUGAGAAUCAAAGAUUCAAUUUCCUCUCGCAAGGUGAAACACUCGGCUGUGCUGUGACCAAAGUCUUCAUGGAACUCGCAAUACUUCAGACUACGCUUCAUGUUGGGGUACUUCUUCAUUGGCUUAGGAGGACGGAGGAGGCCGCUAUCCCGAAUAUGGUAGAAGAUCUGCUCUGGGGAUUGAUUCAGUGGGUGGUAAGAUUCGUACCGAGGCCUCGGUGGUGGCUCUCGCUAAUCCGGUGGUGGCGGUCUUGGAGGUUGGGGUACCCUUAAGGUACCCUGAGGGUUGUACCCCCGUCCUCGCGGGGCAACCCGUGGAGGGCUCCGUGGUUGGGGUACCCUCGGUAUUGGGGCCUCCAUCCUUUUAGGCUUUUCCUUGUUCUUUGUAACAUCGGCCUUAUCUUCUUGGCGCUUCAAUUGACAUUUUUCGUCCAUCUCCACCUGCUGCAACGCCCGGGAACGGGCUUCCCCAUAUGAAAGUGGGCGCUUCUUUUGAAAAGAACGCCAUAAUUUGCCCAGCCUCAAAUUUUUCUCAAAAUGGGUCAAUGUGUAUUGGUUUCCAAAUGCUCCGGUUUGCAGCACCUCUUGGUGGAAACGACUCACAUACUCCGCCAAAGGCUCGGCUUCCCCUUGCUUGAUAAAGGCAAGUUUGAAGGCUACCCUAUCUUGGGUGGAUGCAUAGGAAAACUCUUUAGUAAAUUCAGAUAGCAAUUGGUGUAAGGAAGAUAUGCUACCCGCUUUCAAAGAGCGAAACCAUGACUUCGCGGGGCCCGUGAGUGUGUGUGUAAACAUCCUACACAUGGCGCUCUCAUCUACACCCUUGAUAAGCAUUUGGUCGCGGUAUAACUCAGCAUGCUCUGAGGGAUCAGUGGUACCAGAGUAUUGGGGUAUCUGAGGCAUGGCGAACGCCUCGGGGAGAGCUGCCGUCCUAAUCUCCAUAGUGAAUGGUGACUGGUAGGUCAGUGGCGUUGGUGCAGCUGUGAUGUUUUGCUUCUCGGAGAGGAGCUUCACUUGGGCUUCCAGGUUCUCCAUCUUUUCUACAAGUUCGAGGGGUACCCUCGGUGUACCCGAUGAUGUCGCCGCCAUUUGAGAAGCCCUUUUGGCGUUUAGCUUCUCACGGAGAUCCUCGUGGGUACGCUUUGCACGCCUCGUACCCUGGCUGCUGCGGGAAUUGCAAGAGGCGGUGGAACGCUCGUCGCGAGAGCCCACGGUUUGAAACUUAGAACGGGUACCCGAUGGCCUAGGCUUUGGCUUGCUGGCCUCGGGUACCCCUCUUCUGACCAUAGCUUGGUCGUCCGUUUGAGGUGGUGGAGCUUCUAGCGUCACUGGUGGAAGCCAACUUUCGGGUGCUCGAGAUCCGACCGCCCUAAGUAUUGCGUGGGCAAGAUCCUCAAAACGCUUGUGCGAAAUAGGUUCCUCUUCUUGGCGAACACCCGUCGAUUGCUUGAUACCUUUGCCCUUGCUGACGCGGGCUACCCUUCUUGUGGGAUCACUACCUUCACUGCUGCUGUCAUCUCUCAUCCUUGUAGGAUCCCCCAUUAAACCUUCGGGAGGUACGUCGGGUGCCAUGUAUUGGAGUACACACAACAACUAGUUUGGUAACCGCGAAGGAGGCUUUUUGUGCGAAUCCCCACAGACGGCGCCAAUUGUUUUCAACAGAUUUUGGGGUAGGAAAAUCCAAAAUCUAUCUUAAACAAUGAAUUUAUAUUUUUCGGGGAGAUGGGGUACCUCACUGGUUUGUUGUGUGCGGUGCGGUGUAUCUGAAGUUCGGGGGAGGUGAGAAGGGGAGAGAGAGUGGUAACAAUGGUGGAAGGUCAGAAACAAGAGAGGUGUCCUUCAAAAUGAGCUUCACGCCUGCAAAACAGUGAAAUAGAGGUUAGAGGUGAAGCCGGGGUACCCCGGCGUUCACACUCCGACGCUCAAGUUAGCAAACUCAAGCUUUUAUGGCAAAGAGAGCUAGCUAGCCCUCUGUAAAUUAGGGUUUAAGGUUGAAGAAAACCUUUUUUUUGGAGUGUGAGUGUUUUUGGGCGAAUGAGAGCAUGAUGGAGAAUGAAACCUAGGCGCCUUUAUAUAUGGAGUACCUUAGCUGCCACGUGGCGUACCCUUUUUGGCUAACGUCCUUUUACCGCUUUUAUGAUUCUUGGGGCCGUUAUGUGCAUGUUCGCGGCGUAUCUCAUCUUUUGGAAACGUGGCGCGCGCUGGAGAGUGGUCCGGGGUACCUCUGCAGUAGCUGUUGGGUAGGCGGCUAGGGACCACUGUCCUUGGGACAGUGUCCUUCACUUUUGGCAGAGGUAGCAGGCGGCUGUCCCCCCCUUUUGAUACGACGUUAUUGAUUCAUAAUUCUGACAAAAUCAAAUAAUAUCUUUAAGGAGGCGGAGACGUUUCUCAUGGCGGAUAUUUUCGGAGGUACCUCGAGUUACGUGGGGUACCUCUAAUUGUACGGGGUACCUCUAGUUACGUGGGGUACCCCCUAUUACGCGGGGUACCCCUAUUUGUAUGGGGUACCUCAUAUUAUAUGGGGUACCUCUAUUUGUGUGGGAUACCCCUAAUUGUGCAGGGUACCUCUAUUUACACGGUGUUCCUCAAGUCAUGCCGGGCACCUCGGAUUGUGCAGGGUACCCUCCGAUUGUGCUGAAAUCAUUCCAGUAAUAGUUUUGAGAUAAUGAAACAAUUUUUUUCCAUUUUUUUUUUAUCUCUAUCCGACUUAAGGGGUAUUAUCAUGUAUAUAAAUUGAAUCCGACAUGUUAAAUUUUUCUGUCAAUCAACGAAGUCAUUGCAUAGAUAAUUCCCCAGAUUUUCAAUGCAAAGAAAGCCUUGCUCAUGUUUGAAGAGGUUAAUGAGCAUAAUAUGAGGGACAAAAUUGAAAUCUAUGAAGAAUUACAGAACUAUAGAGUAAAACUAAACAAGAAUUAUUAUUGUAUUGCUGGAAAUGAGAAUGAACGUGUAAUAAAGAAGCAAGUAAUGCAAAUAUGACGAAAGUAAAACUGCCUGAUUAGUAAACACCAAACAUUUAGCCAAUGACGAAUAAGUUUUGGUACACAAGUCAAUUCGAAAAAGAUUACAGUGUAUUCAGUUGUUAGUAAUAGAAUUUUCAUUUUUCCUCAAUCUUCUCCAUGCAAUCUAUACACAGGUAACUUCAGUGUAAUUAGAAGAUCGAAAUGAACUAGUAGAAUAUUUAAGAAACAAAAUUCUUAAACAAGUCCUACUGGGUUCGGUUAGAAUGAACUAUAACUAUGGUUCUAGAUAAAUAUCAGAGGUUUAUAAGAUAAAAUAGUAUGCAAGUCACUGUAGAGUAUCUUGAGAGAAAGUUUUAACCAUGCUUGUAGGCAUCGAAUAAUAAUGGUAGAAAACAUUUUAAGGCCCAAUGAACAUGCAUAAAAAAUGGUAAUAAAUGCAUGGUAGGCUUACGGACAUGUCUAGAAUCAUCCGGUGCAAUGCUUUCAACCAACUUUGGCCCGGAUGAAAGAAACCCACGUCCUAGAGGACUGUAAGCAACAAUUCCAAUGCCAAGUUCCCUGAGCAGAGCAACCACCAAAAUUGCGUUAGCAUGCAAAUGUUAAAUCAUCUACUCAUAAUUUUUUUUCCUUUCAACUAGGUCAAAACAAUUCAUUUGGCCCAAAUAAUGUCUUACCUGCAAGUAGGAACAAUCUCUUCCUCCACAUCUCGUGACCACAAGGACCAUUCCAACUGCACAGCUGUUAUUGGAUGGACGGCGUGAGCUCGUCUAAUUGUUGAAGCAGAAGCCUCCGAUAGACCUAUAUACUUUAUUUUACCCUCUUCAACUAGUUUCUUGAGUUCCCCAAUCUUACAAAACAACACAAGUAAAAGAAUUAGUACAUGAUAACAGAAACCUCACCCACCGAAGUGACCCAUGUCUGUAUUUUUAAAUAUUCUGUGUUUCAUAUUCAUUGGCAGCCGAGCUACCCAGAGGCUAACAGACUAAUAUAGUUUAACAUGCAUGAUUGAGACAAAUAUAUAAAUUAAAAACGACAAACCGUGACUUCAAUGGGAACUUUAGUGUCAAUGCGAUGUUGGUAAUAAAGAUCAAUACAGUCAACAUCCAGACGCUUCAAGCUGGCCUCACAUGCAGCUCUUACAUAAGCAGGAUCCCCACAGUAUGAGUACUGGCCAUCCUCAUAUCUGAUACCAAAUUUAGUAGCCAAUUCAACUCUUCCUCUGUACCCUCCUUUCAGAGCCUAAUCCCAAAACCAAAUUAAUCAAAGCCAAUAUAUUAUUAUUUGCCAAUUCCAAAUAUACCCUUUUGAAAUUAAAGGAAGGAAAUAGAAGAUAAAUUAUAUUACCUUGCCCAGAAGGAUUUCAUUUGUGUGAGGUCCGUAAGAAUCGGAAGUGUCAAGUAAAGUGAUGCCACUGUCAAUGGCAUGGUGGAUCAAGGCUAUCAUAUCGGAUUCGGGCUUCGGGGGCCCGUAGAAGGCGGACAUGCCCACGCAUCCUAAGCCUUGCGCUGAAACCUCUAGACCUUGUGAACCCAGCUUGAUUCUCUUCACUGCCCCCGCCAUUUCUCUUCUAUUAGCCUCUCAACUUUCUGUUGAGUGAGGUUGCUGUUUCUAAGCGAACAAUCUAUAUAUGUAGAUAUAUUGCUCUGCGGGCCUCUCAAAACUCGUAAUGCUAACGUAAUGGAAUAUGUUAGCAUUUACCUCAUUAACUUUACAAAUCACACAAGAGAGUAGUUAGAUCAAUAAUCGAUACGUCAUAAUGUUAUUUAUUAAUUAUAGGAAAAAUGAUAAACACAACUCCAACAUUUAGAUAAAGGGACAAAAAAAAGUAAUUUUUUUUUUUUUUUUUGUGAAGCUUAAGGCCCUAUUUGGUAUUGUUUUCCAAAUGUUGUUUUCUUGAAAUAAAAAUAACAAUGAAAAUGUUAUUUUUAAAUUUUAAAAUAUAUUCAGUAUCAUUUUUGAAUACUUAUCUAGUAUUUUCUGAAUUUAGAAAAUAAAAAAUUAGAUUUGAAAACAAUAUUGUACGCACCCUAAUAUUUUAAUUAUCUCUUUUGAACUAUCUGGCUCUAUAGCAAUUUGUAAGGGAAAUAUUGUCUUUUGAUCAGUCUAUUAUCUUAGAACUAGGGUCUAAGGUCAUAUUUGGUAUUGAAGUAUGUACCUUUUGAGUUACAAUUGUUAUGAAAAAAAUACUGUAACUAUAAAGUAAAAGUUAAUAGUAUGUAAUAAAUAUAAUUUUUAAAUAAUAAUUUUUUAAAAAUGAGUAAAGAUAUAAUAAAUUUUUCAUCAUACAAGUAGAAAAUCAAAUCAAUUUAGUUUUCAAGCUAUACCAACUAGUGUUUAUCAAAUACUUUAAUGCUAUUUUUUUUAUCAAAUACUUUAGUGCUAUUCUUUUUACACUACAACCGUUCAACCUCAAUCCUAAAUAGGACAUAAGUAUGGAAAUUACUCGAUGAAUCAUCUUUUAAGUAUUUGAGUGAGAUAUUGUAGUGAUUUUUUUUUCUAAAUACUUGAAAAUUAAUCUAAUCUGCAAUGAGAUUCUUGCAGACUUCUUGUCGUAACUAUAUUGUCAAUAAUGAUAGUCACAUGCUUACAAUUUUUUUUAUGUGUUUUUUAAAGAAUGGGUAAAAUCCAAAUCAAUUUUUUUCUUAUAAUCUUUGUAAGAUUGGAACUCCAAUAGUCAAUCAAAUGAAACUAAUUAAAAAUUGGUUAAAUCCUUAGGUGGUCAAUCAAGUGCUUACAUGUAAUAACUAAAAUUAUAGAGAACUUAUAAUUACUUUUGUAAGCAACCCAAAGUAUAUUAAGACUAACUUGAAAUUCUAUCACGUCUUAGUAAAUACUCAAAAAAUUUACUUCAUACUGUUGAGAAAAUGAGUAAAAAAAAGCCAUGGAAUUCAAAUAGUGUCCUCAAUAUUAUUGUGAAUACCUGUCAGCAUUGAUUAAUUAGUCCAAUGGCUAUUUUUUUUUUUAGAAGAUAAGCAUGUAUUUGAUAUUAUUUAUGUUUUGCUAUUUUUCAUUUUCCAAGAAAAAAAAAAGUGUAAAAUUUGUUUGGUACACUUAUUUUAUGGUAUUUAAUUUCAAGUAAGAAUGUUUAAUCUCAUUCUCUAACUUUAGAGAAGAAAAUUGGACAACAAGGCAUUCAUGAUUUUCAAUUUUCAUUUUUUAAAUGGGUACUACAAGUACCACUUGAACAACAACAAAAUAAAAAUCAUGUCUGUCAUUAUGUGGGCCCAUUACCAAUAUUUAUUUUAUAAUCCAAUUCUAAUUAUCUUUAAUACUUUUUAAUUAUUUUUUAUUCAACAAUACUAAUUGUAUUAUUUGGUAAUUUUUAAAAGGUUCUCUAUUAGUAAAAUUUAUUUAUUAUUUAUUAUUUAUUCUAAUAUUAAUGAUACUCCCUAAAAAAUCAUUUUAUCUAAUUUUUUAUAAUUAAAAAUUUUAAAUAAUAAAAAGUAAUUGAAAUUUCAAAUAAUAAAAAAUUAAUUGAAAUAUAUUAUGAUUAAAAAUAAUUUUAGUUCAUCUAAAUAUUAUAUCAUAGUAUGUAUUUUUUUCUCACUCUCUUUUACCGUCUUCACUUUUUAAACAACUCAAACAUUUUGAAAUUUUCAUUUUAUAAGUAUAUUUUAGAAAGAAGGCUCAUUCUAUUAUGCCUUGAUUAACGUAACGGUAUCAAUACUGUAAUUAAACAUAAUUUAUGUAAAUAAAAUAUAAAACUUGUAAAUCAAUAUUAAUUGUAAAAUACAUAAAUUUUAGAAAUUAAACAUAAAACUUGUAAAUUGAAGGUAAAAUGAGUAAAUUAAUAUAAAACUCGUAAAUUGAUAUAUUAUUAGUAAAUAAAACAAAAACUUGUAAUAUAACAUAAAACUUGUAAAUUAACAUUAAGUGCAAAAUAAAGCACAAAUGUAAAUGGAGGAUAAAACAAGUAAAUUAAUAUAAAACUAGUAAAUUAAUGUAUUACUAGUAAACAAAACAAAAACUUGUAAAUAUAACUUAAAGCUAGUAAAUCAACAUUAACAAUAAAAUAAAGGGUCACCCUAUGUUAUGUUGAGUGUAACAUACACACACUCACAGCAACAGUAACAAGUCUCAUCAUUAACAUUGUUGCUGUGAGUGUGUGUAUGUUACACUCAACAUAACAUAGCAGUGGCCUAAAAUAAAACAAAAAUUUUAGAAAUGAAGUAUAAGACUUGUAAAAGGAAAGUAAAAACAAGUAAAUUACUAUAAAAUUAGUAAAUUUAUGUAUCAUUAGUAAGUAAAACGAAAACAUACAAAUAUAAUAUAAACCAAGUAAAUCAAUAUUAAGUGCAAAAUAAAACAUAAAAUUUGUAAACCAUGCUCAAAACUUAUGAAUAAAAGGUAAAAUAAGUAAAUUAAUCUAAGAGUUACUAACAAAAAAGCUCUUAUAAACUAAAAACUCAUUAUAAUAUUUAUUACCUUAUAUAUUUAAUGAUUUUUUUAAAUUAAAUUGCAUAAUGCUAGUUUUGCAUUUAUGUAGUACAUGUGAUGUUUUAUUAAGGAUGAAAUUUAUUCGCAGAAUUGGAUUUUGAAAAAAAAAACUAUUUUAAUAUCUUUCAUAGUUGUUGUAACAUGAGGUUAUUUUGCAUCCUUCUACACUUCUGCAACAACAACCCUAAAUGGUCUCUUAAGUACAAGUAAAAAGUUUGAAACUACAUGAAGCAUACAUAGAACUCAAAAUUAGAUAUAAUUUUAUUGAUAUAUCAUAUAUGUGUCUAGUAAUAUGAGAAUAAUUAUUUAUUUAUUUAUUCAUUUGCUUGAUCCACGUCUAGAUAAAUAAUUGCACUUAAUUAACUUGUGUAAUAAACAGAUAUCAUUAUAGAAAAUGGGAAAAAUUAUACAAAUGUCAUUAAAUAAAUAUAGAAUUUAUGGUUAAACCAAUUCAAUAAAAUAUAUUUCACUUUUUUUGUACAAUUUUUGUUUAAUUAAUGAGUAAUUUUUUCUUUAUAUUUUUGUAAAUGAAUACAAUAUUUUUCACUAAAAUUGUGCAGAAGCAAUGUUAAUUUUUUAAAUAAUUAAUAAUCUUGUAUGAAGUUACUUGUUUUACUUUAUAUUUACUAAUUUUAUAUGAAACUAGUAAAUAUAAAGUAAAGCAAGGAAAUUCAUACAAGAUUAUUAAUUAUUUAAAAAAUUAUAAAAACAUUAUUUGAAUGGCAAUACCAAUUGCACCCUAGUCCGUACAAUUUUACGUCAUUCAAUGUUGAUAACGUGGCUGGCACAAAGGCCAAAUCAAAGGCUGAGCGGGCAUCACAUGGGCCUUUGCCUGGAUCCUAACCUUCGCAAGCAAAGGCCCACGAUUCUAUCACCCAUUAAUCCUUCUAGAGAAUCUGCUAUAGAUGUAAAUGGACCCUCACUAUCUUUUUCACUGUUUUGAUUUUUCAAAAUUCCUUUUUUUUUAUUAAGUUUAAUGCAUUUUAUUAUCUCCCUGAAACUAUUUGGCUAUGGUAAUUGGCAAGGGGAAAAUUAUCUUUUAAACAUUCUAUUACCUUAAGACUACGGUCAAGUAUUGGAAACAUGGUGAAUCAUUUUUUAGGGAUUUCAGUCAACUUAUAAACAUUAUAGAGAUUGAUUUUUUUUUGCGAAAUAUGCGAAAAUAAAUGCAGCGCUACGAGGUUCUUGUAAACUAUUAAAUUCAAAUCAAUAAAAGUAGCAAUAAUAGCGUAAGUCCAGAAUCUAUCAUAUAUCAAUACCACUCUCAUACAGUUGUUGUUAAAUCAGGCCUAAAAAAUAUUUUUUUUUCUUUAAUUUAAUAAAAUUAUCAAAAGUCAGAUUUUUUUUUCUUGAUUACAUAAAAAUGCAUAAAAGUAGAGAAACACCUUAAAUUUCCUACUGAAGAUUUGAAGACAACUACUUUAAUUUUUUCCACUACCAUUAUUGGGAUCUGUAGGAUAUGGUUGUAGUUUUCUCGUCUAUCAUCAAUAGUCUCCCUCGCACAUGAGGGCAUAUAGAGAACUAUAAUUCCCAUUUCCUCUUCUUUAUAUAGGCACUUAUUAAAGUCAAGAUAUAACUAGAAACUAAGCUAACAAAGGGUAUCCAUGAACUUCCUAAAUCCAACUUCAUAGUUAAGUCUCAGUCAUAUUAUGACUCCCUAAAACAACUAAGUUAACCUUAAGCUAUUCUACUAAAAGUCUGAUGUCGCACUCUAAUGAACCAUGUAACAAAUAAAAGCCUAAUUAAUUAAGACUUCUUUUAAUUAAUAUUAGACAUGAUUUUAAACCAAUAAUUACCACUUAAUUGACUCUUUAUUUGAUCAUCUUAAUUAAAUCCAGCCCAUGAUAAAUUUUCUUUCUUUGUAAUUACAUAUAUAUCCCUUAGUCACAAUUUAUUCUAACUAUCACUGUUAAUAUAUUUGUAAAUAGAUUACAAAUAAAUGUGAUUAAUUAAUAAAUAAAUUAUUGAAUAAAUUAUAACCACAGAUUUAAAUGAUCAAUAUAGGGAUGGCAAAAUGCAAGCUUAGACUAGGCUUUUUCAAGCCCGUUAGAGGGAAAGUAUAAGGGCUAAGCUUGGGCCGGGGUUGGGUUGGGUUGGGUUGGGUUGGGCUUUCACUUAUUUUUUUCAUUUUUUAAAAAAAUUGUUAAAAACUUGAAAUGAAUUAAUAGUCAAUGAGUUGUUAUAAUCGGCAACGAAAUAAAGAAAAUGAAUGUUUCAAAAUAAAAUAAUAAAUAAAGAAAACACAACAAAAAAAAGUGUAGAGAUUUAAAUUUUUUAAUACUAGAUUUUUUAAUUCAAGUAUCUUCUUAAUUAAUUAACAUUUAAAAGAGAGUUUAUUAUUAUAAUUUUAGAUUUUUUGAUUCAUUAUUGAUAUAUAAAUUAGGGACUUAAGCUUUCUUUCUUUUUUCCAUUAUUUCAUAAAAGUUUAAUUUAUUAUUCAAAUUUCUAAUUUAUUUUUUGAAAAAAAAAUAGAGGGCGUGUGCCUAGAUUUUUUUUUACUUAAGCCCUUAUCCAGACCGUUCAUAUGGAGGCAUGAGCCAAAUCUCAUAGCAAUGGGCCGGGCUCAUCCCUAUGAUCAAAUACUACAAAUAGCUUAGGUAAGCAUCAUUUGUAUAGAUUCCAUCUUGUAAGUAUAUAUAUUUCUAUAAUCCAUGAAAUUAUAUCUCCAAAUUAUUAACGUUUUGACCGUUUAUACAAAUCUUACUUUGUGACGACUCAAAAGACAUAAUACCUGAAUGUGCGCUAGACUCCUUUACCCUUUAUUAGCGUUAUAUUACCCACUCAGAAUUAAGAUCGAUCAAGCUUAUUAAAGCUUGUAUAGAUUAUGAUUAGCAACAUAUGUUAGAUUAGAUCAUAAUUCAUUACAAUCUUGUUCAUUACAUAUAUAUCUCAUAUACAUACUAAUUUUUCUACUUGAAGUCUCUACUUCAGUAAUUAAGAUAAAGUUACUUAACAAUAAAAAUACAAAAUAUACAGCCUUAUAAAAAUAAAAUGACAUUUCAUUAAUGGAUGUGAAUAAUCUUUUAUUUUUAAAGAAUUUGUGAUUUUUAUCUUCUAUCUUGACAUCAUAUGUCCAAUAUAUAAAUCAAAUACUUUAUAAAUAAGGGCUAAUAAUGUAUGCUCAAAUAAAUAAUAAAUAAAUAAAUUUUAAUAAAUUCAGAAAUUUUUAUUUUAUUGCAUGCUGUAAGAGUACAAAAUAAUAAUGUACAAAAUAAUAAUAAGUGUACUAGUAAUUAUAUUGUCAAUAAUGAUACUCAAAUACUUAUAACUUUUUUUUUGUGUUUUUUUAAAAGUAAAGGGUGGUAAUACCAAAUCAGUUUUUUCGCAUCUAACCUUUGAGGAUUCGAACUCUAAUUACCAAACAAAUAAAACUACAUGGAAAUCAGCUAAGCCUAGGGCGGCCAAUCAAAUGCUUACAUGUACUAAGCAAAACAAAAGAGAACUUAUAAUUACUUUUGUAAACAACAAAAAGUAUAUUGAGACUGUUUAAAAAUCUAUUACGCCCUAGUAAAUACUCUAGAGUCUACUCCAUAUUAUUGAGGAAAAUGAUUGAAAAGAAAAAAAAUGGAAUUCAAAUUAUUAUCCUCGGUAUUAUUGAGAACAACUGUUACCAUUGAUCUACCAGCCCAAUAGCUAUUAUUAUUAGUUUUAUAUUAUAAUUCUCUACUGAAAAAUACAAUAUUAUCUCAUUUAGUGUUGAUGUAUGUGGCACAAAAACCAAAUCAAAGGCUACGCCACCUUCACCGGGGCCCUUGCCCAGGUCCCACCCACCACAACAAAAGGCCCGCAAAAAAUUGUUUAUAUUAUAUAUUUAUUGGGUAGUGAAUGGUGAUAUUUUUUAUUUCUUAAAAUACUAAUUAGAGACCAGGUUUGCCCAUACUCGCAUGUGUAAGAGAGAAUCCAUUAUUGAGAAGAAAUUAUCAGUUGGAUUUAGGAGGAGUUAUUUAUGAACAAUAAACUUUUGGCCAAAUAAUCCAAAUAUCAAACAAAUUUGAGGGAAUGCAAAGUGUAGACGAGUAAAAAUUCAAUAAAUGACUAAAGAUUCAAGAAAACAUGAGUAUUAUAAAACUGAUUAAAUUCAUAUUGAGUUUGAAGAUGGAAUAAAACACCAGUAUAAUUGUUUUCAAAUAAUCAUAUGUCUAUAAUUGUAAUUUAUGUUAUUGAUAUUUUAGUAACAAUUAAGUUUAUUAAAAUGUGAGUUUAAUGAGUAACCUAGAGGGUUAAUUAGCCUCAACCUUUAAAAGGUGUCAAAAGGCUACUCUUUGUAUAAUAUAAUAUACUCCACUUAAACUAACCCACUUAAUACUAAAAAUUAACCUUGUAAUGUUUUCUGAAUUAUUUUAGUGUUCAAUAUCAACAAUCAUGAUGUUUUUGAAUGAAACAUACAAAAUGUUUAUAAUGUAAAAAAGAAAUUAGGGUUAUAUGAUGUAAGAAAUUGUUGAACUAAUACAUGUAUAGAUGUAAAUAGGGUAGCAAAAUGAAUUCAUGAAUUAGGUUAAAAGUCGGUAAAUUCAAUAUAAUGAAUUGGGUUAGAAGUUUGAAACUCCAAAGUUUCUAACUUCGAUGUUUAAAUUACAAAUUCAUUAACAAUAGAAUAAACUAACCAUCCUAACUCUAAAAUUUCAACCGAACCAGUGAGCUUAAAUCCACAUUCAUAUUUUGAAUUAGGGUCCAGCUACAAUAAAAAUAUUGUUUCAUACACUAUUUUUUGUCUUUUUGUGAUCCAACCAUUGGAUUCAACUCAAGAGUUGCAAAAGCUAUUCCAACGGCAUGGAUGGACUUGCUUGGUUAUUAACGAUGCAGUCCCUUCUGUUUACUAAAAAAAAUAAGGAAAGAUUAAAUUUCAAAAUUUGACACAUUAGUCCAGUAAAAUAUUUUAUUGUAAAUGAACACAUUUAUAUAUUAAAAAUAUGGAUGGAUUAUUUUAAUUUGCUAAAACACUCUCCACUUCCAUUUACUUAAAAUACCAAUUGGAUUAUAAUAAUAUUAUCUUGUUUUUUGUGUAAUACAAUAUUGGAUAAGGUUUUAUAAAAUUUUUGACAAUAUCAAAAUGAAAAAUAAAUAAAUAUUAAAUAAAUACUUGGAUAGUCAUUUAAAUUUCAUUAUGGAGUUUAUAAAUAAUAUUUUCAAAAUAAUAAAUUUCUAUAUGUAAAUUUGAAAUUAUGUAAAAUUAUUUAUUCCUUAUUACACGUAUGAAGCUGAUUAAUUAUUUAUUUAAUGUGAAAACAAAUGCAUUGUAUAAUAUUUAUUCUAUUACUUAAAUUUAAAAUUAUAAAGAAUGAAACUUAAAUUUAAAAUUGUAAAGAAUGAAUAAUAACUUAAAUUAAUAGAUUAUGGGAGGAUACCUUUCAAAAAAAUUAAAAUUAACAAACUUUUUAGGCUUCUAACGUAACAUUUUUAAUUUUUGUUGUUAACAUAAGACAAAAAUUAAGUCUAAAAACCUCAUUCUAGGGUCUCCUUAGGGUAAAAAAAAAAAUCAUUAUCACAUGAUAAUUUGGUAGCCUAAGUUGUAUUAUUUUUAGUUUACUUAUUCAUGCCAAACACCUUAUUGAGAUUAAAUUUUAGUAAAGUAAACCCAUCCCACCAUCUUUAAUCACAUUCAAUAGGCCCUAAUUGAUUAGAUCUUGUUAUAUAAAGUAAUAUAUAACUCUUUCUUUAUUACAAUGGUAAAGAAAAAAAAACAUAAACACAAUAUAUUUCUUUUGAGAAAAUGCAAGUAUUAUGUUUUUUAGGUUUUGUGUUUAAGAAAUUAAUCUAAUUUAUGUAGUUAGAAGACUCUUAUUUUUUAUGUUUUAGAAGAAUUAUAUGUUUGAUAAUGAAUAAAUUAAGAUUUAAAGUAGGAAAACUAAUUUGAGAAGGAGAUAGAGAGAAUAAAUUUUUUAGAAUUUGAAAAUUAUUAUAUUUUAAUUGGGGCUUAUUACAUAAAAUUAUUAAAACAUAUGGUUUUUAUUAUUUAUAGAAAACAAUAGGGAUUGCUAAAGAAAACACUAAAUAAUUAUUUUAAUUUGAAAUUAUUAUAUUUUAAUUGGGGCUUAUUGCAUAAAAUUUUUAAAAUUUAUAGUUUUUAUUAUUUACAGAAAACUAUAGGGACUGUUAAAGAAAAUACCAAAUUUGAGGGUUUGGUACAACGGUUGCAAAGUAGUUUUGUCCUGAACUAGUGAGACUUUUUUUUUGGCAUAAUUAUAUUUAUUGUAUCAUUCAAUAAAUGGAUCUUAAAAAAAUAAACAAAUCAGUGGGACAUUCAAUUUGUUCACUUAACAAAUUCAAUCAAAAUUGUCCAUUUAUUAGACGAAUUAAUUUUUCAAACCUAAAUGCUUUUAAUUCAAAUAGAAUCAAUAAAUCCUUAUCUAUAUUAUUACCCCUAGAUGUAAACCCUUUUUAUGAGAAAAAAAAGGGUGUUUAUAUGAUAGAAGAAACUAUUGAAUUGUAUUUUUAAAUAUGUUAUAUAUUAUUGAUUUAUCUGUCAUUUUACUCUAGAGUGAAAUUGUAGCAAUAAAAAAUUGAGUAAAAUCUUUAAAUUUAUAUUUUUCAUGACUCACCGUAGAUUCUGGUAUUUCAUAGAUUAAUUCUUUAUUGGCUUAAAAAAAAUCCUACCCAAACUUAAAAAAUUAAGCUAAUAUAGACAUAACAUAAAAAUAAAUAAAUAUGAUAUAUAAUACAGAAUUUUGUAAAUUAUUUUUAAUGUUAAAUACAAGUAUUUUAAUAUUAUUGAUCUGCAAAAUAGAUUUUAUUAAAUUAAAACAUAUAUGAUAGAUUAAUAAUAUUAAAUUAAUUUUUUUAUUCAAAAUAAUUUAUAAAAUAUAUAACAAUUAUAUAUUAUAUUAUUUUAAUAUUAUAUUUUGUAUCUAUCUAUCAUAGAAGUUUAUUUAAAAUCAAUUUUUGGAUUGUUAAAAUCGAUGUGUAUAAUCAUCAAAAAACAUUUGUGUGAUUAUUUAUUAAACCAAGGAGGUCUAUAGCAACAUUUAUGUUCCCAAGGGGGUAUAUAUGCUUUUUUUCCCUGAUUUUUAGAUGAAUUAAUUCUUAAAUGUAUCUAUUUAUCAUUUACUGCAAAGAAGGUGAUCAAAUUAACCAUAAAAAAUACGCAAUGAAAUGUGUGAAAUGCCUGAAAGGCAAUAGGAACUGUGAAAAAUAUUUUUACGGAUUGGACUAGGCAAUGCGGGCCAAUAAUAUCUAGUCCAAAGAUGAGGCUGGGCCAAGUUUAAGUUUCACUUGAUAAAUUUAGAUUCGUCCAAAAACCUGAAUUUUAUGAAAAAAUAUUAUAAAAUACAUUAUUUUAAAUAACUAUAUUUAUUUGACCCAUAGAUUAUACAUAUUUAAAAUUUUAAAUAUUUAAAGUUCAUAUUUGAAAACCCAAAUUCAUUAAAUAAAAUUUAAAAAUCAUAAAACUAAAAUAGGUCCCUACAGCGCAACCCGCUUAGGUCGAAAGCCAUCCCAGCCUGGGCCAUUUGGGUCUUUGCAUUAACCUCAAAAGGAUAAAAAGUGCAUGAGGUAUAGGUGGGGGUGUUCGCGGAUCGGAUUUUACGAAUUGGACAUCAAUCCAUAUCCGAUCCAUGAUUUUGCGGAUUAUAAUUUUUUAAUCCAAUCCAAUCCAUAAAUUGAUAAAAUUCAAUCAAAAUCCAAUCCAUACAUCUGCGGAUCGGAUGCGGAUUUGACUCAAUCCAUAUCCAAUCCAUACGUCUGCGGAUCGGAUGCGGAUUUGACUCAAUCCAUAUCCAAUCCAUUUUGCGCAUUAGUUUUCGAAUUAAAAUUUUUUAGUUCUCUCCAACUAAUGAAAUAAAAAAAAAUCUAAUAUAAAAAUAAUUUUGCUACCAAUUAAAUUUAAAAUUGAAUAAAAUUUAAAUAAAUUAAUUAUUUAAAUAGAGUUAAAAUAAUACAUUUAAAGUUUCAAAAUAUAACAAUCGAGACUAAUUAUUUAAAUAAAGCUACAAUAAUACGUUCAAAGUUUCAAAAUAUAACACACCAAGCUUAAUUGUUCAAAUAAAGUUACAAUAAUACGUUAAUAUAACACCGAAAUUAAUUGUUCAAAUAAAGCCACAAUUAAUUGAAAUGGCGAAGUUUUGGAAACCAAACACGGUCUGAUCCUUCACUAGGGUUGUUGCGCCUGUUGAAAAGUGGUGAUUACUGAGCCGUCCACGAUGGGAACCAGGAGAAGCCGUACGGGUGGCGAUCUUGAAGGUUGUGAUAGUGAAAUUGUUCAGCUGGAACCAGUGAAUGUGAAGUGGCUCGAUGGACUUGGGAAAGAAGAUGGCUUGCUCUCACUGGGAUCGCACGGCCGAUGUCCUUCAAAUCCGUGUCGAGAGUGUAUCCAACCAGUAUUGAGUGUUGUUAGUGUGCGUGACGACGGAGAAGCUUAGGGUUUUUUGUUUGCAAAUUGUUGGUGACUUGACAACAUGUUAUUUUACUUUUGGGUGACUUUGCAAAUUGUUGGUGACUUGACGUUAUGUUACUUUACUUUUGUUAGUGCGUGUGACUUUGCUUUUAUUUUGUUUUACAAUUUUUACACGUUAUAUUUGUAUAUUUGAUUAUUUAAUUAUUUUUUAUUUUUUAUUAUUAUUGGGUAAUGGCUAAGAUAUGUUAUAGUGCUUAUGUAACUAUGUAAUGUCACAUUUAUAAUUUUUUUAAUUAAAUUUAUAAUAAUUUUUUAAUUAUCUAUAUAUAUAUAUAUAUAUAUAUAUUAUUUUAUUUUUUUUGUGCGGAUUCACGGAUUUUUACAGAUUUACAGAAGUAAAUUCAUAUCCAAUCCAUCAAUCCACGGAUCGGAUUUAUACGAAUCGGAUUGAGUGGAUCAGACGGAUUGAGUGGAUCGGAUUGGAUUCUGAACACCUCCAGGUAUAGGUUUUAACCGAAAGAACUUCUUGCGCAAUUCAUGCGUUUCUGCUUUUAUGACCAGAAAUUGUUUCUUGAUUUGAUUUCCAUUUCAAAUUGUUCUCUGGACUUUUUAUCAAUAUGAGGUGAUUGCAAAUAAACAUAUAUAAUAUUAUAAAAUAUAAAUCUGGAUUUUUUAAGCCCAUAAAAGAAAGUCCAUUUGGGGCCGAGAUUUUAGGCUCAACCUCAGUGUUCAAAAAAACAUGCUUGGGCCAAAUUUGAGUAUUGCCAUAUCCGGGACCGACUUGAGUUUUUACCAUGACUAAGCAUAAUCAAUUGGUUCAAAUAAUUUAAUUUCCGGUAAAAUGAUGUGAAAAAUUGUGAAUCAAUUUGGUAAUCUCGUAGAGGCCACUUUGUAACACAGUAAAAGUAUUCAAUUGAUCUGAAAUCAUUGAAUAAUUUUUUGUUGAGGAAGGAUGUCACGUACAACAACAAGAAACAUAUAAUGCUACAAUAAAUUUAGAUCAGCAAUAAUGUUUAGGAUCCUAACAUUUGAGUCUCAACUUGACUCUCAAUGAUAUGUGUCACUCAUCAAUUGAAUAAUGGAUAUAAUAUCUAGUAAAAUUAUUUAACCACCAUUCAAUAGAUGAAUUCCACGUCAGUAGGAACUCAAAUUAAGACUUAUGUUGGGACAUCUAGCAUUGCUCUUCACAUCAGUGGUGAGGCUCCAAGUGGGUUGGGAAAUUUUUAGAAAAUUUACAAAAAUAUCAUAAUGCAAAGUUUAUAAAAUUGCCACUAUUUUAUUUACAGUAGUACCACUCUAUUAAUUUACAAUUUUGUCAUUCAAAUAAAUAUACAGAAAAAAGGGAGCAUUUACUUCAUUCAAGAUUCCAGAACGUGCUUUCUUUCUUGGCUUCUUCAGUUCUUCGUCUUCUUCUUGACAAGAAUAGAUAAUACAUUUAUUGUUUAUUCAAUCAUUUACAGUACACUUAUUAAUUGUUAGGUAGUAAAGACUAAAGAUUAUAUUAUUUAAUUCUUGUUCCAAUUUCAUUGUGUAAAAUUAAAUUAUUGUUGGGUCAAAUGAAGAUAAUUUAGCCAUUAAAUUCUAGCAUUCAAAAAUUUAAAUUAAUUAUUGAUAGAGAUGGAUCAUAGAUUCAAUUCAGUACAUUAUACAUAAAGUUAAUUUGUUAAUUGAAUUUAUUGUUUGGCUUCUGGAUAGUGUUAAUGUGUCGUAGUGACAGAUUGACGGUUCUAUGACUUUUAUUAGUAAAUUUGUGAUUAUUUCUUCUAACUUCUUUUAUAUUUAUACCAUGUUUUGACUGAAACACCCAAACGAGCAUAGACACGACUUCAAAAUAAGGAAGAGAAUGAAUUUUUAUCAAAUUGUAUAGUUAUCUACGUUAAAAGAGAAUUUGUAAACACCGUUAAUUUAAAUUCGAUAAUAGAUGGAUUUAAUUCUCGAAAGUAUGGUAAAUUACUUCUUAGACAUGAUAUAUUUUCUUAUGUAUAACAAAAUUUUCUUUCAAAUUUAUAUUUUUAACCAAGAUAAUAUUUGGAUUUGGAAAAAAUUUAGCCUACCCAAGAUAUUUUUUCUGGCUUCGCCCCUGAUUCAGAUCAUCUAAACUUCCAGAAAUUUCAGAUAAAUAUUACUCCAUUUUGAUUUGUUAUUGUUUCUCAUAUAUUUGCAUAAACACAUUACAUUGUUUUUGCGCUCACUGCAGAAGAUACAAUGAUUUAGUUUUACUUACAACACUGCAUAGGAACUCAAUACAAUAUUCACUAAAUGCUUGUGGAAAGUGCAGAAAGGUACUGAUAGGGUCUCGUAUGAGAACACAAUGAUUUUACCCACAACAGAACCUAGGAACUACAUGCAAUUGCAAAAUCGGUACUAAGAAGCAGAAUACCAAUGCCCUUUAUGAAGGUUUCCACGAAGACAGAGGUGGAGUUUCAGAGUCUUCGUAGGUAGGAGUGACACCCCCAUACCGAUGACCCCUUACAGCAUCUGCUGAAGCAAUAGAUUCAAGCUCAGCCAUUUCUUCUGGAGAAAGUUUCACUGACAGAGCUUUAAUAUUUUGAUUGAGGUUUUCAAUCUUGGUGGUUCCAGGAAUCGGACACACGUCAUUUCCUUGGUGAUGAACCCAUGCUAAUGCAAGCUGAGAUGGGGUGCAUCCUUUCUUUACUGCUAUUUCAUUAACACGUUCAAAUAGCUUUUUGUUAUGCUCUAAAUUUUCAGGUUGGAACCUCGGUAGAUGCUGCAAGAUUUAGAAAACAGCUCAGUACCAAAACUGAACUGCAAUUGAAUCAUUAAAAAAAAGAACAUCAUUUUGGAUAAGAGUAAUGAUACAGCCACAAACUCUUGUACAAACUUAUUUUGUACAAACUGAUGUGGCAUGAUAAGAUUGGUUGAAUUAAAUAUCACUUGGCCCACAUGAUUUAUUUUUAUUAAUUUAUAUUUUCAUUCAACCAAUCUUAUCAUGCCACGUCAGUUUGUACAAAAUAAAUUUGUACAAGAGUUUGUGGCUGUAUCAUUACUCUUUGGAUAAAGCAUGAUUUUAGAGGAGGUUUAUGUAAAAUUCAAUAGACCAGAAAACAAAGAAAAAGGACUAGUCGGGGACUUCUCCUAGGUGGAGGAUGUUUAUAGUAAAACAUUUUGGCAUGUUAGACAAAGGUCUCACAAGAAAUAAACUCUCCUUGGACUUGUCAAUUGAUUUCACAUUGACGUGCAUAGGCAAAGCAAUAUAACAAAAAUGGAAACUGCCACAAGGAUGUAGAAGUUUGGAAGAGUCAUUACAGCUAAACUUCUUGAGCAUCCAGUAAUAGUUUUGAGGUAAUGGAACAAUUUUUUUCCCUCAUUUUUUUUUUCACCUCUAUACAACUUAAGGGGUAUUAUCAUGUAUAUAAAUUGAAUCAGUCAUGUUAAAAUUUUCUGUCCAUCAAUGAAGUAAUUGCAUAGAUAAUUCCUCAUAUUUUCAAUGCAAAGAAAGCUUUUGCUCAUAUUUGAGGAGGUUAAUGAACAUAAUCUGAGGGAAACAAUUGAAAUCUAUGAAGAAUUUCAGAGCUAUAGAGUAAAACUAAACAAGAAUUAUUAUUGUAUUGCUAAAUGAGAAUGAAUGUGUAAUAAAGAAGACAAGUAAUGUAAAUAUGAUGAAAGUAAAAAUACACGAUUAGUAAACACCAAACAUUUAGCUAAUGAUGAAUAAGUUUUGGUAGACAAGUCACUUCAAAAAGGAUUACAGUGUAUUCAGUCCUUAGUAAUUGAAUUUUCAUUUUUCCUCAAUCCUCUCGAUGCAAUCCAUACACAGGCAACUUCAGUGUAAUUAGACGAUCGAAAUGAACUAGUAGAAUAUCUAAGAAAGAGAAUUCUUAAACAAGUCCUACUGGGUUAGGUUAGAAUAACUAUAACUAUGGCUCUAGAUAAAUAUCAGAGGUUUAUAAGAUAAAAUAGUAUGCAAGUCACUGUAGAGUAUCUUGAGAGAAGGUUUUAAACAUGCUUGCAGACAUCGAAUAAUAAAUGCAUGGUAGGCUUACGGACAUGUCUAGAAUCAUCCGGUGCAAUGCUUUCAACCAACUUUGGCCCGGAUGAAAGAAACCCACGUCCUAGAGGACUGUAAGCAACAAUUCCAAUGCCAAGUUCCCUGAGCAGAGCAACCACCAAAAUUGCGUUAGCAUGCAAAUGUUAAAUCAUCUACUCAUAAUUUCUUUUCCUUUCAACUAGGUCAAAACAAUUCAUUUGGCCCAAAUAAUGUCUUACCUGCAAGUAGGAACAAUCUCUUCCUCCACAUCUCGUGACCACAAGGACCAUUCCAACUGCACAGCUGUUAUUGGAUGGACGGCGUGAGCUCGUCUAAUUGUUGAAGCAGAAGCCUCGGAUAGACCUAUAUACUUUAUUUUACCCUCUUCAACUAGUUUCUUGAGUUCCCCAAUCUUACAAAACAACACAAGUAAAAGAAUUAGUACAUGAUAACAGAAACCUCACCCACCGAAGUGACCCAUGUCUGUAUUUUUAAAUAUUCUGUGUUUCAUGUUCAUUGGCAGCCGAGCUACCCAGAGACUAACAGACUAAUAUAGUUUAACAUGCAUGAUUGAGACAAAUAUAUAAAUUAAAAGCGACAAACCGUGACUUCAAUGGGGACUUUAGUGUCAAUGCGAUGUUGGUAAUAAAGAUCAAUACAGUCAACAUCCAGACGCUUCAAGCUGGCCUCACAUGCAGCUCUUACAUAAGCAGGAUCCCCACAGAAUGAGUACUGGCCAUCCUCAUAUCUGAUACCAAAUUUAGUAGCCAAUUCAACUCUUCCUCUGUACCCUCCUUUCAGAGCCUAAUCCCAAAACCAAAUUAAUCAAAGUGAAUAUAUUAUUAUUUGCCAAUUCCAAACAUACCCUUUUGAAAUUAAAGGAAGGAAAUAGAAGAUAAAUUACAUUACCUUGCCCAGAAGGAUUUCAUUUGUGUGAGGUCCGUAAGCAUCGGAAGUGUCAAGUAAAGUGAUGCCACUGUCAAUGGCAUGGUGGAUCAAGGCUAUCAUAUCGGAUUCGGGCUUCGGGGGCCCGUAGAAGGCGGACAUGCCCAUGCAUCCUAAGCCUUGCGCUGAAACCUCUAGACCUUGUGAACCCAGCUUGAUUCUCUUCACUGCCCCCGCCAUUUCUCUUCUAUUAGCCUCUCAACUUUCUGUUGAGUGAGGUUGCUGUUUCUAAGCGAACAAUCUAUAUAUGUAGAUAUAUUGCUCUGCGGGCCUCUCAAAACUCGUAAUGCUAACGUAAUGGAAUAUGUUAGCAUUUACCUCAUUAACUUUACAAAAUCACACAAGAGAGUAGUUAGAUAAAUAAUCGAUACGUCAUAAUGUUAUUUAUUAAUUAUAGAAAAAAUGACAAACACAACUCUAACAUUUAGAUAAAGGGAUAAAAAUGUCUCUAACGUUUUGAAAAAGAAAUUUACACCUCUAUUCACUAAUGAAAACAAUUACUUUUAACGAAAAUAGUAAUUUUAAUAUAUAAUUACCGUUAUACUAUUUUAGCACAUAAAAAUAUAAUUAUUAAUUAUCUGAUUUGUCCAUAUAUUGUUAAUAAAAUUACAAAAAUACUCUCAUUGACCAAUUCCUCUAUUUAAUUUUUUAUCAAAUUAUCUCUUCAAGCCAAAUAAAUUUAAUCCAUUAUCAAUUUUUAUGUCUAUUGGAUAUGUUAUUUAAUACAAUUAAGAUAAGAUUUUUGUAAUUAUUGUUGUAACCAGCCCUUUUUAUUUUAUUUUGUUGAUUAUACAAGUUAAAAUGAUUGACAUGUAGAGAAUUGUUAUUCUUAUGGCAUUAAUAACUAAUUUUAUUUAUUUUUAUUCUUGAGUAAUGGAUUAAAUUUAUUUGGCUUGAUGAGAGAAUUUGAUAAAAAUUUAAACAAUUAUUUGAGCAAUGAGGGUAUAUUUAUAAUUUUAUUAACAAUAUAUGGACAAAUUGGACAAUUAACAAUUAUUUUUUUAUGUGUUAGAACGGUAUAACGGUAAUUAUCUAUUAAAAUUACUAUUUUCGUUAAAAAUAAUUGUUUCUAUUAGUGAAUGGGGACGUAAAUAUCUUUUUUAAAAUGUUAGAAAAUUUUUAUCCCUAUGUCUAAAUAUUGAGGGUGUGUUAGUCAUUUUCCCUUAAUUAUAUUACUGGCAUAAUGCUUCACAAAUAUUUUAAAAUCUUUCCAAUCGAACAAUUAAAAGUUGGCCCAAACUGGCGGCUAAGGGCUGUCAAAUUAACAAGAUGUGGGAGUAUGAUUUUAUCAUAUCAUGAUAAUGGAAGCACUUGAGAAGCCAGGUCUUUCAUGGGACCAAAAGAAAUAUUGGCUUCUACUCAAGUUGGUUGCUUCCUUGGCUUGAGACCUGUAAAGCUGGAACUUGUUCAACAAAGACUUGGCAAAAUCCAUUGCCUUUAAUCUGUUUUUAACAUAAAGUAUAAUAACAUGGCCAGUGGCAAAUUGGGAAUGUCAACUAGUAUCCACUAUUUAUUUGAUUAUUUCUAUGAUUUUAAGAUCUGCCCUUGGAAUCUGGACUUUGUGGUGCUGGAUGUAUUUGAUUAUAUAAAUGUACUAAUAUCGCUCUCAUGAGAUGAUUACUGAAUUUGAGUGGACCAAAAAAGUUAAAAGAUUAAUAAAUUAAUUAAAUUGGAGAUUUGGAGUCAUAAUCAAGUGUUUGCAUGGUGGUCGUGGAAAUAUUUUGGAUCCCACCGUGGAUUUACAAUAUAAAUGUUGAAGGCGCUGUUGAUCCCACUGUCCCACAUGGCAUGACUUUGCAACAUCUCAUCUGCUUUAUAUUAGAAAUCCUAGAAAUUAACCAGAUGUGGGAGUAAUAAUAAUUCUCCACUAAAAAAGCCAAAUCCAGGGCUGCGCCGGCUUCGCCUGCACCACGAGCAAAGGCCCACUUAUUUGCGUCACCCAUUACAGCAUCUGAUAUGGAUUAAACCCAAACACUUAAAGUAGGAUUUAGUUCAAAAAGUUUUAAUUUAAGUUGGAGUAUUUAUUUUUCUUUUUUUUCAAUGUUUAUAAUGAGGUUCAACAUUUAAAAUAAACAACAUAUUACUAUUAUUUUUAAAAUUUAAGAGGAAAAAUAGAAUUUGAGUUUUUGAGAAUGAAAUAUAUAGAGAAAUAAAAUUAUAUGGCUAUUGAAAUUUGAACCAAGUCUCUAAAAUCACUAAAAAGCACAAUUAUCACUAAAUUAUAAGUAUUUUGUUAUAUAAAAAAUAUGCCCAAAUUCUUUUUAUUUAAUUUUUUUAGAAAGAGCUCAGGGUACAUUUUAAAGGAAAAGUAAUGGUCUAGGAAAGGCUUCAUAAUUGCCCAGGAGGAGCCGCCCAUGACUGUCACUAUCUUUCAAAAAAUUUUGACAAAAAAAAGUAAUUUUUAUUUUUUUUUUGUGAAGCUUAAGGCCCUAUUUGGUAUUGUUUUCCAAAUGUUGUUUUCUUGAAAUAAAAAUAAGAAUGAAAAUGUUAUUUUUAAAUUUUAAAAUAUAUUUAGUAUCAUUUUUGAAUACUUAUCUAGUAUUUUCUGAAUUUAGAAAAUAAAAAAUUAGAUUUGAAAACAAUAUUGUACGCACCCUAAUAUUUAAAUUAUCUCUUUUGAACUAUCUGGCUCUAUAGCAAUUUGUAAGAGAAAUAUUGUCUUUUGAUCAUUCUAUUAUCUUAGAACUAGGGUCUAAGGUCAUGUUUGGUAUUGAAGUACUGCACCUUUUGAGUUACAAUUGUUAUGAAAAAAAUAUUGUAACUAUAAAGUAAAAGUUAAUAGUAUGUAAUAAAUAUAAUUUUUAAAUAAUAAUUUUUUAAAAAUUAGUAAAGAUAUAAUAAAUUUUUCAUCAUACAAAUAUAAAAUCAAAUCAACUUAGUUUUCAAGCUAUACCGGCCAGUGUUUACCAAAUACUUUAAUGCUAUUCUUUUUACCAAAUACUUUAGUGCUAUUCUUUUUACACUAUAGUCGUUCAACCUCAAUCCCAAAUAGGACAUAAGUAUGAAAAUCACUCGAUGAAUAAUCUUUUAAGUAUUUGAGUGAGAUAUUAUAGUGAUUUUUUUUUUCUAAAUACUUGAAAAUUAAUCUAAUCUGUAAUGAAAUUCUUGCAGACUUCUUGUCGUAACUAUAUUGUCAAUAAUGAUAGUCACAUGCUUACAAAUUUUUUAUGUGUUUUUUAAAGGAUGGGUAAAAUCCAAAUCAAUUUUUUUCUUAUAAUCUUUGUAGGAUUCGAACUCCAAUAGUCAGUCAAAUGAAACUAAUUAAAAACUGGUUAAAUCAAGUGCUUACAUGUAAUAACUAAAAUUAUAGAGAACUUAUAAAUACUUUUGCCCAGAAGGAUUUCAUUUGUGUGAGGUCCGUAAGAAUCGGAAGUGUCAAGUAAAGUGAUGCCACUGUCAAUGGCAUGGUGGAUCAAGGCUAUCAUAUCGGAUUCGGGCUUCGGGGGCCCGUAGAAGGCGGACAUGCCCAUGCAUCCUAAGCCUUGCGCUGAAACCUCUAGACCUUGUGAACCCAGCUUGAUUCUCUUCACUGCCCCCGCCAUUUCUCUUCUAUUAGCCUCUCAACUUUCUGUUGAGUGAGGUUGCUGUUUCUAAGCGAACAAUCUAUAUAUGUAGAUAUAUUGCUCUGCGGGCCUCUCAAAACUCGUAAUGCUAACGUAAUGGAAUAUGUUAGCAUUUACCUCAUUAACUUUACAAAAUCACACAAGAGAGUAGUUAGAUAAAUAAUCGAUACGUCAUAAUGUUAUUUAUUAAUUAUAGGAAAAAUGACAAACACAACUCCAAUAUUUAGAUAAAGGGACAAAAAUCCCCCUAGCAUUUUAAAAAAUACAUUUACACCCCUAUUCACUAAUGAAAACAGUUACUUUUAACGAAAAUAGUAAUUUUAAUAUAUAAUUAUCGUUAUACCAUUCUAGCAUAUAAAAAUAUAAUUGUUAAUUAUCUAAUUUUUCCAUAAAUUAUUAAUAAAAUUAUAAAUAUGCCCUCAUUGACCAAUUCCUCUGUUUAAUUUUUUAUCAAAUUAUCUCUUCAAGCCAAAUAAAUUUAAUCCAUUAUCAAUUUUUAUGUCUAUUGGAUAUGUUAUUUAAUACAAUUAAGAUAAGAUUUUUGUAAUUAUUGUUGUAACCAGCCUUUUUUUUUAUUUUGUUGAUUAUACAAGUUAAAAUGAUUGACAUAUAGAGAAUUGUUAUUCUUAUGGCAUUAAUAACUAAUUUUAUUUAUUUUUAUUCUUGAGUAAUUGAUUAAAUUUAUUUGGCUUGGUGAGAGAAUUUGAUAAAAAUUUAAACAAUUAUUUGAGCAAUGAGGGUAUAUUUAUAAUUUUAUUAAUAAUAUAUGGACAAAUUAGAUAAUUAAUAAUUAUUUUUUUAUGUGUCAGAAAAGUAUAACGGUAAUUAUAUAUUAAAAUCACUAUUUCCGUUAAAAAUAAUUGUUUCCGUUAGUAAAUAGGGGUGUCUUUUUUAAAAUGUUAUGAAAUUUUUAUUCCUUUACCUAAAUAUUGAGGGUGUGUUAGUCAUUUUUCCUUAAUUAUAUUACUGGUAUAAUGCUUCACAAAUAUUUUAAAAUCUUUCCAAUCGAACAAUUAAAAGUUGGCCCAAACUGGCGGCUAAGGGCUGUCACAUUAACAAGAUGUGGGAGUAUGAUGACUGACUCACAGCGGGCCUCACAAACUCGUAAUGUCAAUAAUGUAAUGGAAUACGUCUAGAUCUAAUGAACGAUCAAUUAAAUGGUUAUAUGUAAUAAUUAAUAUUAAAGAGAAUUUAUGAUUGCUACCAAAAAUAUAUUGAGGACAACUUGAAAAUCUACUACGGUCUUAUAAUUAAAAAAAAAUGAAUUUUUAGAGAAUAAUAAUUCUCCACUAAAAAAGCCAAAUCAAGGGCUGCGCCGGCUUCGCCUGCACCACGAGCAAAGGCCCACUUAUUUGCGUCACCCAUUACAGCAUCUGAUAUGGUCCAGGGAUGGCAAAAUUUUUCAGACCCGGCCCGGAUCCAGAUAAAUCCGGACGAUCCGGUCCGGGUUAAACCCGCUCUGGGUGCAUAAAAAUACAGAUUCGAGUAGUAUUUUUUUAAAUCCGGAUACAUGCGAGUCCGGUUGCGGAUACCCGGAUUCUGAGAACCCGGACCUGCACUACAGUAUUAAUAAUUAAUUAAUUAAUUUUUAUUAUUAAAUAUAAAUAUAAAAGCCAAAAGUUAAAAAAAAAAAAAGUAAAGAAAUGAAAAGAAACCCUAAAUCCCCACCCCAGCCACCACCUUUAUUGUCCUCUUCCUCGACAUCAAUUCAAUUCAUCAUCAUCCACCCAUCAUCAAUUCAUCAUCAACAAUAAUAACAAUCAAUAUCAUCCUCAACAUCAAUUUAAAUCAUUGUCAAUUCAUCAUCAAAAGCAACAAACAAUCUUUGGCACCAUCAAAUUCAACCUUAUCUCUCAUCUCUCAUCAAAUUCGAUCUCAUUUCUCUCUUGUUCUUGGAUGCUAGAUCUCAACCCUUGCUCGCUGCUCUCAUGGCUGCCGCCUCCUGGACUCGCUGGUGCCUCAACCGACACCUCAAAGAAACUGCUAAUCCACUCUUGCCGCCGCGCGAUCUCAUCUCUCUCUUGUUCGUGGAUGCUGGAUCUCAAACCUUGCUCACUGCUUUCAUGGCCGCUGCCUCCUGGACUCGCCAGUGUCUCAACCGACACCUCAAAGAAACAUCUAAUCCACUCUUGUACAGAGUCAAAAGGGGCAUGCAUAAAGGCUUCAUUGUUCCAGCCUCCAACUUUCCGGGUUUAAAGCCCGCAAUCGGGAAACCCGGAUUUUCCGGGUUGAACCCGUACCGGACCCGGAGAAAGAAAAUGCGGGUUUUUAUCCGGAGCCGGGAAGGAGAAUUGGCAUAUGGGUCCGGAACCGGAAAUACCAAACACGGACCCGGACCCGUUUUUGCCAUCCCUAGAUAUGGAUUAAACCCAAACACUUAAAGUAGGAUUUAGUUCAAAAAGUUUUAAUUUAAGUUGGAGUAUUUAUUUAUUUAUUUUCAAUGUUCAUAGUGAGGUUCAACAUUUAAAAUAAACAACAUAUUACUAUUAUUUUUAAAAUUUAUGAGGAAAAAUAGAAUUUGAGUUUUUGAGAACGAAAUAUGUAGAGAAAUAAAAUUAUAUGGCUAUUGAAAUUUGAACUGAGUCUCUAAAACCACUAAAAAGUACAAUUAUCACUAAAUUACAAGUAUUUUGUUAUAUAAAAAAUAUGCCCAAAUUCUUUUUAUUUAAUUUUUUUAGAAGGAGCUCAAGGUACAUUUUAAAGGAAAAGUAAUGGUCUAGGACAGGCUUCAUAAUUGCCCAGGAGGAGCCGCCCAUGACUAUCACUCUAUCUUUCAAAAAUUUUUGACAAAAAAAAGUAAUUUCUUUUUUUUUUUUUGUGAAGGUUAAGGCCCUAUUUGAUAUUGUUUUCCAAAUGUUGUUUUCUUGAAAUAAAAAUAACAAUGAAAAUGUUAUUUUUAAAUUUUAAAAUAUAUUCAGAAUCAUUUGUGAAUACUUAUCUAGUAUUUUCUGAAUUUAGAAAAUAGAAAAUUAGAUUUGAAAACAAUAUUGUCCGCAUCCUAAUAUUUUAAUUAUCUCUUUUGAACUAUCUGGCUCUAUAGCAAUUUGUAAGGGAAAUAUUGUCUUUUGAUCAGUCUAUUAUCUUAGAAUUAGGGUCUAAGGUCAUGUUUGAUAUUGAAGUACUGUACCUUUUGAGUUACAGUUGUUAUAAAAAAAAAUGUUGUAAUUAUAAAGUAAAAGUUAAUAGUAUGUAAUAAAUAUAAUUUUUAAAAAUAAUUUUUAAAAAAGUAGUAAAGAUAUAAUAAAUUUUUCAUCAUACAAGUAUAAAAUCAAAUCAAUUUAGUUUUCAAGCUAUAUCAGCUAGUGUUUACCAAAUACUUUAGUGCUAUUUUUUUUACCAAAUACUUUAGUGCUAUUCUUUUUACACUACAACCGUUCAACCUCAACCCUAAAUAGGACAUAAGUAUGGAAAUUACUCGAUGAAUCAUCUUUUAAGUAUUUAAGUGAGAUAUUGUAGUGAUUUGUUUUUCUAAAUACUUGAAAAUUAACCUAAUCUGCAAUGAGAUUCUUGCAGACUUCUUGUCGUAACUAUAUUGUCAAUAAUGAUAGUCACAUGCUUACAAUUUUUUUUAUGUGUUUUUUAAAGGAUGGGUAAAAUCCAAAUUAAUUUUUUUCUUAUAAUCUUUGUAGGAUUGGAACUCCAAUAGUCAAUCAAAUGAAACUAAUUAAAAAUUGGUUAAAUCCUUAGGUGGGCAAUCAAGUGCUUACAUGUAAUAACUUAAAUUAUAGAGAACUUAUAAUUACUUUUGUAAGCAACCCAAAGUAUAUUAAGACUAACUUGAAAUUCUAUCACGUCUUAGUAAAUACUCAAAAAAUUUACUUUAUACUGUUGAGAAAAUGAGUAAAAAAAAGCCAUGGAAUUCAAAUAGUGUCCUCAAUAUUAUUGUGAAUACCUAUCAGCAUUGAUUAAUUAGUCCAAUGGCUAUUUUUUUUUAGAAGAUAAGCAUGUAUUUGAUAUUAUUUAUGUUUUGCUAUUUUUCAUUUUCCAAGAAAAAAAAACAGUGUAAAAUUUGUUUGGUACACUUAUUUUAUGAUAUUUAAUUUCAAGUAAGAAUGUUUAAUCUCAUUCUCUAACUUUAGAGAAGAAAAUUGGACAACAAGACAUUCAUGAUUUUCAAUUUUCAUUUUUUAAAUGGGUACUACAAGUACCACUUGAACAACAACAAAAUAAAAAUCAUGUCUGUUAUUAUGUGGGCCCAUUACCAAUAUUUAUUUUAUAAUCCAAUUCUAAUUAUCUUUAAUACUUUUUAAUUAUUUUUUAUUCAACAAUACUAAUUGUAUUAUUUGGUAAUUUUUAAAAGGUUGUCUAUUAGUAAAAUUUAUUUAUUAUUUAUUCUAAUAUUAAUGAUACUCCCUAAAAAUCAUUUUAUCUAAUUUUUUAUAAUUAAAAAUUUUAAAUAAUAAAAAGUAAUUGAAAUUUCAAAUAAUAAAAAAUUAAUUGAAAUAUAUUAUGAUUAAAAAUAAUUUUAGUUCAUCUAAAUAUUAUAUCAUAGUAUGUAAUUUUUUUCUCACUCUCUUUUACCGUCUUCACUUUUUAAACAACUCAAACAUUUUCAAAUUUUCAUUUUAUAAGUAUAUUUUAGAAAGAAGGCUCUUUCUAUUAUGCCUUGAUUAAAGUAACGGUAUCAAUACUGUAAUUAAACAUAAUUUAUGUAAAUAAAAUAUAAAACUUGUAAAUCAAUAUUAAUUGUAAAAUACAUAAAUUUUAGAAAUUAAACAUAAAACUUGUAAAUUGAAGGUAAAAUGAGUAAAUUAAUAUAAAACUCGUAAAUUGAUAUAUUAUUAGUAAAUAAAACAAAAAUUUGUAAUAUAACAUAAAACUUGUAAAUUAACCUUAAGUGCAAAAUAAAGCACAAAUGUAAAUGGAGGAUAAAACAAGUAAAUUAAUAUAAAACUAGUAAAUUAAUGUAUUACUAGUAAACAAAACAAAAACUUACAAAUAUAACUUAAAACUAGUAAAUCAACAUUAACAAUAAAAUAAAGGGUCACCCUAUGUUACGUUGAGUGUAACAUACACACACUCACAGCAACAGUAACAAGUCUCAUCAUUAACACUGUUGCUGUGAGUGUGUGUAUGUUACACUCAACGUAACAUAGCAGUGGCCUAAAAUAAAACAUAAAUUUUGGAAAUGAAGUAUAAGACUUGUAAAAGGAAAGUAAAAACAAGUAAAUUACUAUAAAAUUAGUAAAUUUAUGUAUCAUUAGUAAGUAAAACGAAAACAUACAAAUAUAAUAUAAACCAAGUAAAUCAAUAUUAAGUGCAAAAUAAAACAUAAAAUUUGUAAACUAUGCUCAAAACUUAUGAAUAAAAGGUAAAAUAAGUAAAUUAAUCUAAGAGUUACUAACAAAAAAGCUCUUAUAAACUAAAAACUCAUUAUAAUAUUUAUUACCUUAUAUAUUUAAUGAUUUUUUAAAAAUUAAAUUGCAUAAUGCUAGUUUUUCAUUUAUGUAGUACAUGUGAUGUUUUAUUAAGGAUGAAAUUUAUUCGCAGAAUUGGAUUUUGAAAAAAAAAACUAUUUUAAUAUCUUUUAUAGUUGUUGUAACAUGAGAUUAUUUUGCAUCCUUCUACACUUCUGCAACAACAACCAUAAAUGGUCUCUUAAGUACAAGUAAAAAGUUUGAAACUAGGGGUGGGCAAAAUCGGGUUCGGAUCGGGUUCGGAUCAACCCGAUCGGAUUUCGGGUUCAUCGGGUUGGAGAGAAACUCAUCCGAACUCAACCCGAAUUUUAGAUCGGAUCGGAUCGGAUCGGGUUAUAUUCGGGUCGGGUCGGAUCGGAUCUAAAAUUCGGAUCAAUUUCGGGUCAAUUCGGGUUAAGGACAAAAAAGAGUCAUUUGUGUUAAUUUUGGGUUGUUUAAUAAUUAUUUAAUAAUUACAAGAUCACUUUUAUGCAAUUAGUUCAUUUUAGUCCAUUUCCACUUUCCAGUGACUGUCAUAAAAAAAAAUAAACUGAAAUAGAAUUGAAAAAGUUGUGAGCUUGGAGGACUUGGUGUCAUGAAUCUCAGUCUCGGUCUCGUUGGAAGAACAACCAUGGAUCGCUUCGCGCGGGUCAAGCAGCAGCCGAUGGAUCAAGCGGCAACGGGUUUCGUCAAUGGCUCAUGGCUUCACGGGUUUUGUCGGUGGCUACCAGAAAAGCAGAUCCGAUCGAAGUGAAGUGCAGCAACCGUCGAUGCAGCAGCAAGCAGAUCCUGUCGUCAGUGCAGCAGAUCUGGUCGAGUGGUGUGCUGCAUGUGGCCCGCUGCUGUGCUAACCGUCUGUAGUUUUGUUGCGAGAAAGAAGAGAAAGAAGACAGUGAAGAGAAAAAAGAGAGUUGUUUGUGUGAGUUGUGAGAAAGAAGAGAAAGAAGAGAGUGAAGAGAAAGAACACGGAGAGUGAGAAAGAAGAGAAAGAAGAGAAAGAAGAGAGUGAAGAGAAAGAUUUAGGUUUUUUUAGGUUGUUUGUGUGUGGCGUGUGUGUUUAGAUUUAGGUUUUUUUGUUUUUAAAGCAACCCGAUCGGGUUUGCGGAUCGGAUCGGAUUUGACCCGAUCCGAUCACAACCCGAUCGGGUUUCACCAUCUUCAUCCGAUCGGGUUUCCUUUAUAACCCGAUCCGAUCCGAAUCUGAAAUUUUUCGGAUCGGGUCGGAUCGGAUCGGGUCGGGUCGGAUAUUUUGCCCACCCCUAUUUGAAACUACAUGAAGCAUACAUAGAACUCAAAAUUAGAUAUAAUUUUAUUGAUAUAUCAUAUAUGUGUCCAGUAAUAUGAGAAUAAUUAUUUAUUUAUUUAUUCAUUUGCUUGAUCCACGUCAAGAUAAAUAAUUGCACUUAAUUAACUUGUGUAAUAAACAUAUAUCAUUAUAGAAAAUGGGAAAAAUUAUACAAAUGUCAUUAAAUAAAUAUAGAAUUUAUGGUUAAACCAAUUCAAUAAAAUAUAUUUAACUUUUUUUGUACAAUUUUUGUUUAAUUAAUGAGUAAUUUUUUCUUUAUAUUUUUGUAAAUGAAUAAAAUAUGUUUCACUAAAAUUGUGCAGAAGCAAUGUUAAUUUUUUAAAUAAUUAAUAAUCUUGUACGAAGUUACUUGUUUUACUUUAUAUUUACUAAUUUUAUAUGAAACUAGUAAAUAUAAAGUAAAGCAAGGAAAUUCAUACAAGAUUAUUAAUUAUUUAAAAAAUUAUAAAACAUUAUUUGAAUGGCAAUACCAAUUGCACCCUAGUCCGUACAAUUUCACGUCAUUCAAUGUUGAUAACGUGGCUGGCACAAAGGCCAAAUCAGAGGCUGCGCGGGCGUCACCUGGGCCUUUGCCUGGAUCCUACCCUUCGCAAGCAAAGGCCCACGAUUAUGUAUCACCCAUUAAUCCUUCUAGAGAAUCUGCUAUAGAUGUAAAUGGACCCUCAUUCUCAUUUUCACUGUUUUGAUUUUUCAAAAUUCCUUUUUUUUUUUUUGAAGUUUAAUGCAUUUUAUUAUCUCCCUCAAACUAUUUGGCUAUGGUAAUUGGCAAGGGGAAAAUUGUCUUUUAACCAUUCUAUUACCUUAAGACAACGGUCAAGUAUUGGAACCAUGGUGAAUCAUUUUUUAGGGAUUUCAGUCAACUUAUAAACAUUAUAGAGAUUGAUUUUUUUUUUGCGAAAUAUUCGAAAAUAAAUGCAGCACUAAGAGGUUCUUGUAAACUAUUAAAUUCAAAUCAAUAAAAGUAGCAAUAAUAGCGUAAGUCCAGAAUCUAUCAUAUAUCAAUACCACUCUCAUACAGUUGUUGUUAAAUCAGGCCUAAAAAAUAUAUAUUUUUUCUUUAAUUUAAUAAAAUUAUCAAAAGUCAGAUUUUUUUUUCUUGAUUACAUAAAAAUGCAUAAAAUUAGAGAAACGCCUUAAAUUUCCUAUUGAAGAUUUGAAGACAACUACUUUAAUUUUUUCCACUACUAUUAUUGGGAUCUGUAGGAUAUGGUUGUAGUUUUCUCGACUAUCAUCAAUAGUCUCCCUCACACAUGAGGGCAUAUAGAGAACUCUAAUUCCCAUUUCCUCUUCUUUAUAUAGGCAUUUAUUAAAGUCAAGAUAUAACUAGAAACUAAGCUAACAAAGGGUAUCCAUGAACUUCCUAAAUCCAACUUCAUAGGUAAGUCUCAGUCAUAUUAUGACUCCCUAAAAUAACUAAGUUAACCCUAAGCUAUUCUACUAAAAGUCCGAUGUUGCACUCUAAUGAACCAUGUAACAAAUAAAAGCCUAAUUAAUUAAGAUUUCUUUUAAUUAAUAUUAGACAUGAUUUUAAACCAAUAAUUACCACUUAAUUGACUCUUUAUUUGAUAAUCUUAAUUAAAUCCAGCCCAUGAUAAAUGUUCUUUCUUUGUAAUUACAUAUAUAUCCCUCGGUCACUAUUUAUUCUAACUAUCACUGUUAAUAUAUUUGUAAAUAGAUUACAAAUAAAUGUUAUUAAUUAAUAAAUAAUUUAUUGAAUAAAUUAUAACCACAGAUUUAAAUGAUCAAUAUAGGGAUGGCAAAAUGCAAGCUUAGACUAGGCUUUUUCAAGCCCGUUAGAGGGAAAGUAUAAGGGGUAAGCUUGGGCCGGGGUUGGGUUAGGUUGGGCUUUCACUUAUUUUUUUCAUUUUAAUUUUUUUUUUUAAAAAACUUGAAAUGAAUUAAUAGUCAAUGAGUUGUUAUAAUCGGCAACGAAAUAAAGAAAAUGAAUGUUUCAAAAUAAAAUAAUAAAUAAAGAAAACACAACAAAAAAAAGUGUAGAGAUUUAAAUUUUUUAAUACUAGAUUUUUUAAUUCAAGUAUCUUCUUAAUUAAUUAACAUUUAAAAGAGAGUUUAUUAUUAUAAUUUUAGAUUUUUUGAUUCAUUAUUGAUAUAUAAAUUAGGGACUUAAGCUUUCUUUUUUUUUUUUCCAUUAUUUCAUAAAAUUUUAAUUUAUUAUUCAAAUUUCUAAUUUAUUUUUUGAAAAAAAAUAGAGGGCGUGUGCUUAGAUUUGUUUUUACUUAAGCCCUUAUCCAGACCGUUCAUAUGGAGGCUCGAGCCAAAUCUCAUAGCAAUGGGCUGGGCUCAUCCCUAUGAUCAAAUACUACAAAUAGCUUAGGUAAGCAUCAUUUGUAUAGAUUCCAUCUUGUAAGUAUAUAUAUUUCUAUAAUCCAUGAAAUUAUAUCUCCAAAUUAUUAACGUUUUGACCGUUUAUACAAAUCUUACUUUGUGACGACUCAAAAGACAUAAUACCUGAAUGUGCGCUAGACUCCUUUACCCUUUAUUAGCGUUAUAUUACCCACUCAGGAUUAAGAUCGAUCAAGCUUAUUAAAGCUUGUAUAGAUUAUGAUUAGCAACAUAUGUUAGAUUAGAUCAUAAUUCAUUACAAUCUUGUUCAUUACAUAUAUAUCUCAUAUACAUACUAAUUUUUCUACUUGAAGUCUCUACUUCAGUGAUUAAGAUAAAGUUACUUAACAAUAAAAAUACAAAAUAUACAGCCUUAUAAAAUAAAAUAACAUUUCAUUAAUGGAUGUGAAUAAUCUUUUAUUUAUAAAGAAUUUGUGAUUUUUAUCUUCUAUCUUGACAUCAUAUGUCCAAUAUAUAAAUCAAAUACUUUAUAAAUAAGGGCUAAUAAUGUAUGCUCAAAUAAAUAAUAAAUAAAUAAAUUUUAAUAAAUUUAGAAAUUUUUAUUUUAUUGCAUGCUGUAAGAGUACAAAAUAAUAAUAAGUGUAAUAGUAAUUAUAUUGUCAAUAAUGAUACUCAAAUACUUAUACCUUUUUUUUUGUGUUUUUUUAAAAGUAAAGGGUGGUAAUACCAAAUCAGUUUUUUCGCAUCUAACCUUUGAGGAUUCGAACUCUAAUUACCAAACAAAUAAAACUACAUGGAAAUCAGCUAAGCCUAGGGGCGGCCAAUCAAAUGCUUACAUGUACUAAGCAAAACAAAAGAGAACUUAUAAUUACUUUUGUAAACAACAAAAAGUAUAUUGAGACUGUUUAAAAAUCUAUUACGCCCUAGUAAAUACUCUAGAGUCUACUCCAUAUUAUUGAGGAAAAUGAUUGAAAAGAAAAAAAUGGAAUUCAAAUUAUUAUCCUCGGUAUUAUUGAGAACAACUGUUACCAUUGAUCUACCAGCCCAAUAGCUAUUAUUAUUAGUUUUAUAUUAUAAUUCUCUACUGAAAAAUACAAUAUUAUCUCAUUUAGUGUUGAUGUAUGUGGCACAAAAACCAAAUCAAAGGCUGCGCCACCUUCACCGGGGCCCUUGCCCAGGUCCCACCCACCACAACAAAAGGCCCGCAAAAAAUUGUUUAUAUUAUAUAUUUAUUGGGUAGUGAAUGGUGAUAUUUUUUAUUUCUUAAAAUACUAAUUAGAGACCAGGUUUGCCCAUACUCGCAUGUGUAAGAGAGAAUCCAUUAUUGAGAAGAAAUUAUCAGUUGGAUUUAGGAGGAGUUAUUUAUGAACAAUAAACUUUUGGCCAAAUAAUCCAAAUAUCAAACAAAUUUGAGGGAAUGCAAAGUGUAGACGAGUAAAAAUUCAAUAAAUGACUAAAGAUUCAAGAAAACAUGAGUAUUAUAAAAUUGAUUAAAUUCAUAUUGUGUUUGAAGAUGGAAUAAAACACCAGUAUAAUUGUUUUCAAAUAAUCAUAUGUCUAUAAUUGUAAUUUAUGUUAUUGAUAUUUUAGUAACAAUUAAGUUUAUUAAAAUGUGAGUUUAAUGAGUAACCUAGAGGGUUAAAUAGCCUCAACCUUUAAAAGGUGUCAAAAGGCUACUCUUUGUAUAAUAUAAUAUACUCUACUGAAACUAACCCACUUAAUACUAAAAAUUAACAUUGUAAUGUUUUCUGAAUUAUUUUAGUGUUCAAUAUCGACAAUCAUGAUGUUUUUGAAUGAAAUAUACAACAUGUUUAUAAUGUAAAAAAGAAGUCAGGGUUAUAUGAUGUAAGAAAUUGUUGAACUAAUACAUGUAUAGAUGUAAAUAGGGUAGCAAAAUGAAUUCAUGAAUUAGGUUAAAAGUCGGUAAAUUCAAUAUAAUGAAUUGGGUUAGAAGUUUGAAACUCCAAAGUUUCUAACUUCGAUGUUUAAAUUACAAAUUCAUUAACAAUAGAAUAAAUGAACCAUCCUAACUCCAAAAUUUCAACCGAACCAGUGAGCUUAAAUCCACAUUCAUAUUUUAAAUUAAUCCACUGGUUCGUUUGAAAUUACAAAUCCAUUAACAUUACAAUUAAAAUCCUCAAAAUAAAUAUUUUGAACUAGUGAGACUUUUUUUUUUUUUUUUGCAUAAUUAUAUUUAUUGCAUCAUUCAAUAAAUGGAUCUUCAAAAAAUAAACAAAUCAGUGCGACAUUCAAUUUGUUCACUUAACAAAUUCAAUCAAAAUGGUCCAUUUAUUAGACGAAUUAAUUUUUCAAACCUAAAUGCUUUUAAUUCAAAUAGAAUCAAAUGGAAUCAAUAAAUCAUGAUCUAUAUUAUCACCCCUAGAUGUAAACCCUUUUUAUGAGAAAAAGGGUGUUUAUAUGAUAGAGAAACUGUUGAAUUAUAUUUUUAAAGGGUAAUUUUCAGAAACCUCCCCUGAGGUUUGGGGUAUUCUCACCUUGAUAGAAUGUAUUCACGUAUUCUCAGUGACCUCCCCUCACGUUAGUAUUCCCAUUCUUAGACUGUUUGUUGACUGACAAAAUGUCUAAAAUACCCUUGACUUACGAAAAACAUAUUUUUCAUGUUCAAAACAGUGCAUUGUUGGUUGAUAGCAUUACAUCUGUUUUGGCGCCAAAGGCUAUAAACACAAUAAAGUUACCAGAUCAUUCUCAUCCAUUCCCAAAAUAAUUUACAGCUGAAUUAGGGUAAAAAAAUUAAAAAUAAAUUUAGAAAUUAUAAUUGUUACUGCCAAUAUUUAUGUUUGUUGGCUAUAUAAUUAGCCAUUGCCAAGCUCAACAAACAACAAAGCCUCUGCUACUCAUAACUAAAGCUUUCUUCUUCCUUCAACAUUAUCAAAACAUCACUACCAAUAUCCUCUCAUACCUCCAUAUCAACCAUGCAUCUACAAACUCUUCAAAAAUCAUUCAAAUCUCACCACUUUCCAAUCAUUAUUCAAAGUUGGAACACCUAUGCAUGUCAAUGUAUUCUCAAAGAACACUCUUGCUGCCAAAGCUGCUGCUGCAGGAUUAACUAUCGACUAUCUCUUUAGGCUUGGGUUAGUUGCCCUUUAUUAAUAAAAAUAUCGUAUUAGUAUGCAAUUUAUAGUGAAUAUAAGUCAUGGAAAUAUUGUAAACACAUACAUAAGUAGAUUCAAACAAUCGUGGUUCUACUCGUUAAACACUGUUAUGCUACAAAACAUACUACAAUAUACUUGAUUUCAACAGUAGUAGCAACUUAUAUUUCUAUUCAAUCUAACAACAUUUUGCAGAAAUUUUAAUGCAAAGAGACUACGUAUAACAGAACUAAGAUUUUAUUCAUAACAGAAAUAACAAGCUAUUGCCAAUCAUCAAGUCAUUGCAGUUGAUCUAUCACAAAAUUUAUAUCUUUUUUUUUUUUCUUGUUUUAACAUUAUGGAACCAUUACUUUAUUAUUUCAAUGUACACCAAUAUUAAGCCCUAUCAUGCAGCUUCAUUAUUGACACUUUCUAUUGAUGAAAUUAAAACUGAUGAACAACCGAAAUAAAACAUUUAUGUGAAUCUUAAAGACUGAACACACUGACCCAACACAAAAUGGUUGGCAACCAUCUAACACUAUAGAACACAGUUGAUGAAGAUAACCUUUCAAAUGAAUUUUGUAUUAACAUGUUGCUGCAUACAUAUAUAAUCUUACAACUUUAUGGAAAAUCACACUAAAUAUGAACAGAAUCUUGGAUUUUCUAAAACUAGAAAAUCUCAAUAAUACAAAAAAAUCUAAUGUCCUUAAAUAUUACAUUUACUCCUAAUGGUUAUAAAUUCAACCAAGGCAUGUCAAAUACCAAAAAGCUAUCCGCGAAAAGGAUUGAAGCAUUUUCUUUUAUAGAAUACUAAUUACAAACUUCAAUUUAUUUUCAACAUGCAUUUGGGUUACUCCAUUCACUACAACUAACAUUAAUUGAUGACAAAAAUAAGAAGCAUCAGCCAUAUUCUCAAUCAAUUUUGAAGAUCCAUUUUCAUAUUUUACUCAACUUAUCAACAAAGCAAACAAAAACUAACAUGCACUAAAAGUUCUUCAUACAUACCUCAUCCGUGGCUUGGAAAAAGUAAGGUAUUAACUGGUAGCCCACGAAACUCACUGGUCGGUACUCUCUGACCUCGCGGCCUUAAAUCGUUCAUCGCCCGUAUUGGAGUCCUCAACUUCACCGUCAUGGUCCUCAAUUUAUGGGCAAAGUGCUUGAUGAAAGUAUAAGAGAGAAAAAUGAAAUAGAUUUUAAGCUUGGUUGCUUCGGCUUUGGCAGAGGAAAGAGAUGAUAACUUUUCAUUUUGUAUUAAUAUUUGUUGAGCAAAAGCAUGUUUCAGUAUACAGGGUACAAAAGCAUGUUUCAACUUAUUACCCUAUGGAUAUUAACAAAGUUCAAACCAAUUUCAAAGCCCAAGGUGAAAAUAUUAAAUUUGUUUGAAUUUUUUUUAUUUUUAAUUUAUUUAAUUACGAUCCUACCCUUGCAUGCUUAACUUAUAUGAAACGGAAUACUAACAUGAGGGGAGGUCAUUGAGAAUACGUGAAUACAUUCUAUCAAGGUGAAAAUACCCCAAACCUCAGGGGAGGUUUCUGAAAAUUACCCUAUUUUUAAAUAUGUUAUAUAUUAUUGAUUUAUCUGUCAUUUUACUGUAGAGUGAAAUUGUAGCAAUAAAAAAUUGAGUAAAAUCUUUAAAUUUAUAUUUUUCAUGACUCACCGUAGAUUCUGGUAUUUCAUAGAUUAAUUCUUUAUUGGCUUAAAAAAAAUCCUACCCAAACUUAAAAAAAUUAAGCUAAUAUAGACCUAACAUAAAAAGAAAUAAAUAAGAUAUAUAAUACAGAAUUUUGUAAAUUAUUUUUAAUGUUAAAUACAAGUAUUUUAAUAUUAUUGAUCUGCAAAAUAGAUUUUAUUAAAUUAAAACAUAUAUGAUAGAUUAAUAAUAUUAAAUUAAUUUUUUUAUUCAAAACAAUUUAUAAAAUAUAUAAAAUUUAUAUAUUAUAUUAUUUUAAUAUUAUAUUUUGUAUCUAUCUAUCAUAGAAGUUUAUUUAAAAUCAAUUUUUGGAUUGUUAAAAUCGAUGUGUAUAAUCAUAAAAAAAAAAAAAUUUGUGUGAUUAUUUAUUAAACCAAGGAGGUCUAUAGCAACAUUUAUGUUCCCAAGGGGGUAUAUAUGCUUUUUUUCACUGAUUUUUAGAUGAAUUAAUUCUUAAAUGUAUCUAUUUAUCAUUUACUGCAAAGAAGGUGAUCAAAUUAACCAUAAAAAAUACCCAAUGAAAUGUGUGAAAUGCCUGAAAGGUAAUAGGAACUGUCAAAAAUAUUUGUACGGAUUGGACUAGGCAAUGCGGGCCAAUAAUAUCUAGUCCAAAGAUGAGGCCGGACCAAGUUUAAGUUUUACUUGAUAAAUUCAGAUCCGUUCCAAAACCUGAAUUUUAUGAAAAAAUAUUAUAAAAUACAUUAUUUUAAAUAAUUAUAUUUAUUUGACCCGUAGAUUAUACAUAUUUAAAAUUUUAAAUAUUUAAAGUUCAUAUUUGAAAAUCCAAAUUCAUUAAAUAAAAUUUAAAAAUUAUAAACUAAAAUAGGUCCCUACAGUGCAACCCGGUUAAGUCGAAAGCCAUCCCAGCCUGGGCCAUUUGGGUCUUUGCAUUAACCUCAAAAGGAUAAAAAGCGCAUGAGGUAUAGGUUUUAACCGAGAGAACUUCUUGCGCAAUUCAUGCCGUUAUGCUUUUAUGACCAGAAAUUGUUUCUUGAUUUGAUUUCCAUUUCAAAUUGUUUCUUGAUUUUUAUUAAUAUGACGUGGGACCUGUCUAUGGUACAGAUUCUGUAACAAACAUCUCCCGACAUCCCACCAUCUGAUUUUCUAUUGUUUAGUUUCUCAGUCCACAUCCAACCACAUCCAACGGCUGAUGCUGCAGUCUGUAGCUUACAGAUUCUGUAAGCUAGUCAAGUCCUAUGAGGUGAUUGCAAAUAUACAUAUAUAAUAUUAUAAAAUAUAAAUCUGGAUUUUUUAAGCCCAUUAAAGAAAAUCCAUUUGGGGCCGAGUUUUUAAGCCCAACCUCAGUGUUCAAAAAAACAUGCUUGGGCCAAAUUUGAGUAUUGCCAUAUCCGGGACCGACUUGAGUUUUUACCAUGACUAAGCAUAAUCAAUUGGUUGAAAUAAUUUAAUUUCCGGUAAAAUGAUGUGAAAAAUUGUGAAUCAAUUUGGUAAUCUCGUAGAGGCCACUUUGUAACACAGCAAAAGUAUUCGAUUGAUCUGAAAUCAUUGAAUAAUUUUCUGUUAGAGGAAGGAUGUCACGUGCAACAACAAGAAACAUAUAAUGCUACAAUAAUUUAGAUCAACAAUAAUAUUUAGGAUCCUAACAUUUGAGUCUCAACUUGACUCUCAAUGAUAUGUGUCACUCAUCAAUUGAAUAAUGAAUGUAAUAUUUAGUAAAAUUAUUUAACUACCAUUCAAUCGAUGAAUUCCACGUCAGUAGGAACUCAAAUUAUGACUUAUGUUGGGACAUCUACCAUUGCUCUUCGCAUCAGUGGUGAGGCUCCAAGUGGGCUGGGAAAUUUUUGGAAAGUUUACAAAAAUGUCAUAAUGCAAAGUUUAUAAAUUUGCCACUAUUUUAUUUACAGUAGUACCACUCUAUUAAUUUACCACUUUAUCAUUCAAAUAAAUAUAUAGAAAAAUGGGAGCAUUUACUUCAUUCAAGAUUCCAGAACGUGCUUCUUCAAUUCUUCGUCUUCUUCUUGACAAGAAUAGAUAAUAAAUUUAUUGUUUAUUCAAUCAUUUACAGUACACUUAUUAAUUGUUAGGUAGUAAAGACUAAAGAUUAUAUUAUUUAAUUCUUGUUCCAAUUUCAUUGUGUAAAAUUAAAUUAUUGUUGGGUCAAAUGAAGAUAAUUUAGCCAUUAAAUUCUAGCAUUCAAAAAUUUAAAUUAAUUAUUAAUAGAUUAGAGAUAUUUGAAAUUGAUUAUUGAUAGAGAUGGAUCAUAGAUUCAAUUCAGUACAUUAUACAUAAAGUUAAUUUGUUAAUUAAACUUAUUGUUUGGCUUCUGGAUAGUGUUAAUGUGUCGUAGUGACAGAUUGACGGUUCUAUGGCUUUUAUUAGUAAAUUUAUGAUUAUUUCUUCUAACUUCUUUUAUAUUUAUACCCUGUUUUGACUGAAACACCCAAACGAGCAUAGACCCGGCUUCAAAAUAAGGAAGAAAAGGAAUUUUUAUCAAAUUGUAUAGUUAUCUACGUUAAAAGAGAAUUUGUAAACACCGUCAAUUUAAAUUCGAUAAUAGAUGGAUUUAAUUCUCGAAAGUAUGGUAAGGCACAAACUUAAUAGUGUUUAAUUGUGACUAAAUUACUUCUUAGAUAUGAUAUAUUUUCUUAUGUAUAACAAAAUUUUCUUUCAAAUUUAUAUUUUUAACCAAGAUAAUAUUUGGAUUUGGAAAAAAUUUAGCCUACCCAAGAUAUUUUUUCUGGCUUCGCCCCUGAUUCAGAUAAUCUAAACUUCCAGAAAUUUCAGAUAAAUAUUACUCCAUUUUGAUUUGUUAUUGUUUCUCAUAUAUUUGCAUAAACACAUUACAUUGUUUUUGUGCUCACUGCAGAAGAUACAAUGAUUUAGUUUUACUUACAACACUGCAUAGGAACUCAAUACAAUAUUCACUAAAUGCUUGUGGAAAGUGCAGAAAGGUACUGAUAGGGUCUCGUAUGAGAACACAAUGAUUUUACCCACAACAGAACCUAGGAACUACAUGCAAUUGCAAAAUCGGUACUAAGAAGCAGAAUACCAAUGCCCUUUAUGAAGGUUUCCACGAAGACAGAGGUGGAGUUUCAGAGUCUUCGUAGGUAGGAGUGACACCCCCAUACCGAUGAACCCUUACAGCAUCUGCUGAAGCAAUGGAUUCAAGCUCAGCCAUUUCUUCUGGAGAAAGUUUCACUGACAGAGCUUUAAUAUUUUGAUUCAG
Molecule: long non-coding RNA, 51317 nt
Filed under: Citrus maxima (pomelo)
Lineage: Eukaryota; Viridiplantae; Streptophyta; Magnoliopsida; Sapindales; Rutaceae
Description: long non-coding RNA (CMAX_LNC000255)
Source: RNAcentral